RNAcentral lists this long non-coding RNA (51893 nucleotides) under Prunus persica (peach). RNAcentral describes it as "long non-coding RNA (PPER_LNC008451)". The record is from RNAcentral. Lineage: Eukaryota; Viridiplantae; Streptophyta; Magnoliopsida; Rosales; Rosaceae.
CAUCAUCAAUCCCCACAAAAUCCAUCACAAGCCAGAAGAAUCUAACCAGCAAUUAAUCAUUAGCAGCAAGAAAUUAAACCAGACCCCAGCAAAAGAAAGCACAUAAUAAUAUAUCACAUCAUAUUCUUCUAUUCAGUAUUGAAAGCCAUACAAGAAUCACAGAAAAUUACACUUUUCAUAUUACAUGUAUAAGACUUAUAAGCUAUGGUGGGCUUGGGUAGAUUUGGUUGCUGAUGAUGAACACAAUCUUCUUCUUGGUGUUUGGUGGUUUAGGCUUCUGGUUGGUUUUGAAAACAGAACAGAUAAACUUGACAAAAUCAUCAAAAAUCAUUCUCUUCACUGAUCUCCUCUUGGCUGGAAUUAUACUCGCAGUCCCCCCACCAGAUGCUUUUGGCCUGAAGCAGUGUGGCUGCUCUGUUCUUGAAUUUUUUUCCACUGCCAUAUCUCUCUCUCAGUGUGUGAUUUUUUUUUGUUUAAAUAGACAAACCAAGAAGGCAAUAUAUAUGUGGACCAAAAAGCCACAUACUUUUUCUCUGACAAUUCUGAUUAUUUUAUUCAUUCCACUUGUUCAUAACAUUAACAUUAAUUCGAAGAAGGUUCGUGGGGGCAUGAAAAUGAAAUGUUUGCCUAAUGCUAGGGGAUCAUUUAUUUGUAUCAUUUGAUAUGAGUGUUCAGUUGGGUAUGUCACAUUACUAAAAUAAAAUAAAAUAAAAGCCUGAAGUCCAGGACGACAAGACUUGACGAAAUUCAAGCCUUUUUCAACCCCAGUAAAAAAAAAGACGGCGAGACAGAAGUAAACUUGCACAUGUAAGUCACCUUGAAAUUUACCAAACAAUCAUAAUAAAUUCACCAAAUAAUUGUUUUUGUUUGAGGGAGAGGAUCUGUGUUUUCUAGAAUUAUUUAAGAAUGAACAGAGUGAUUCUGUUCCAAUAAUGUUGAAGAAGGUGAGAAUGGCUUGAGACUUUCUUCCAAUUAACCUUCACUUCACCUUGAUAUAUUUUCAUGCAUAUCUAUCUUUCUUUGGCCUGAGUUCUUCUCCAAUCAAUCACAAUUAAAUUUAAUCCAAAUUAACUAAAUCAUCAAAUCUACAAGUUGCCAAUAGGGAUGGCAACGGGUUGAGUAUGACAAUACCAUCCUCAUCCCCGCUCUCCAUCCCCGAAUCCAUUCCCGUUUAUUAGGUUCCCGUCCCUGUCGGGGGCCUAUCCUCAAUACCCGUCCUGAAUCCCCAAUUUUUUUGAAUAAAAAAAUAUUUAUCAUACAUUUUAACAUUAAGUUUCAUAUUACAUUAUCAUUCAAUACAUCCAAAUUAACUAUAAAGUUCAACUCAACUAUUCAAAAUCACAUCAAUAUGAAAUUCCAUAGAAAAUUAGGAAGAAUUAGGAGAGAAAAGUUAACUUAGGGUUAAAUAUAAAUAUUUUAUUUAUUUAUUUAUUUAUUUAAAUAUAAACAUAUAUAUUUUCGGGUUGGGUUCGGGGAUGGGGAUGCCAAUACCAUCCCCUUCCCAUACCCAUAGGGGAUUUCUCAAAUUCGGGGAUCUCCGUACCCGAUACCCAUUUAGUCCCGAAAUCUCCUCCCGUUAGGGUCGGGGACCCAAACGGGAAUUUUUGCCAUCCCUAGUUGCCAACAAAAUUUAAAAGCCAUAAAAAAGUGUUUUUUGAUACAAGUGAUUCAUACACACAACUUCAAUGCAUGAGUAAUUGUACUUAAUUACUUGAACUAUAAGCCCCUUAUACGGUAUACCAUAAAAAAUGUUAAAAUAACAUUAUAUGUUGAAGUUUGAAAGAGAAACUAGAACAACAUUGAAGCAAAACACCACCUAUGGUGACAAAUUGGGUGAAAUUUUGUUGCUGUUCUUGGGUAAAACACCACCUGAAGUAGCAGAAGGACUAGGGCCUGAAAGUAGAGAUCCAAAAUAUUGGACUAUUUGAUAAAAAAAACCAUUCUUUUGACUAACCUCCUCUUUGUUGGAAAUACACUCCCAGAUUUUGGUUUGAAGAACCAUUUAUUGUUGAGCUCCUUUUCUUGUUUUGAAUGUUUCUUUUCCAUUGCCAUCUGAUCCCUUAGUUUUCAGUGUGUAUGUUGGUUCGCUAUGAUAUGCAUCAUAUAAGAGCAACUCCAGCGGCAUGACAGAGCCUCGGGCUGGGGGAAAAAAAUGUCAAAAUCUGUUUCCAGCGAGGAGCCUAAGCCCAGGCGCAAGGUGGGACCCAGCAACCUGGGUUGGCCCGAGCUCCAGCCCUCGUUUUGGUGCUAACGUCGGCGCUAUAGUGCCACUACAGUGCUCACGUGCUACAGUGCCGCUAAAGUCCACGUGUCGCGCUCUGGGCUCUCCGAUCAGAUGUUUUUCUCCAAUCCAACGGCAGCCAAUUUUUGUGCAAUAAAAAAAUGAAAAAAAAUUGAAUUUUUUUUAAAAAAAUACCAAAAAAUUACUGAUUUUUUUUUUCUAUAAAUACCAAAAUUUUAUCCGAUUGAGAUAUGAAUUUUAUAAUAAAUAUUGACACGUACAAACCCAAAAAUAUUAUUCGAAAAUAUUAUCCAAAUUAAUUGUUUAGGUAAACAAAUUUGUGAAAAAAACAAAAAAAAAUGAAUAGUAAUUGCCCUUUGCCAUAGUAAUGGGUGAAAACACACAAUACUAUUUGCAAGGGCAACCACUAUUUAGCUCCUCCUUUGCCAUGAUAAGGGGCAAAUGAGUGGAGUUGCUCUAAGAGGUGGGUAGCGUGGGACAUGCACUCAAAGGUCACAGUCCAAGGCAGACUUUGCUUUUUGCAAUUCAACACUUCCAAUUUCUUUCUUUGUUCCUCAAGAUUUGUUAGAUAUGGUUGUUUUGUUUGUCCCUCCCCCACAUGCUUCACUUGACAAACAUGAAAAGGAGAUGAAAUCCGAAAGGCAAGCACAUAGAAAUGACUUUUGAUUUGAGUGUACAUUGCAGGAAAGUUCUUUCUUCCCAUUUCAUUAAUUUCAUGGCCAACUUAAAAAUAAAAAAGAAGCAUGCGGUUGGCUCUUUGUAUAUAUGAUAUGACUGGUAGUUGGGUUGGGAUCCUUUGGGGAUUGGAAGGGAUAGGAAAUAAUGGGGUGGAAAUGGGACGUCCCUCAACAUCCAUGUAGUUGAAGAAAAAGAAUUUCAAAGAGGACAAAUAUCCACCUGGGCCCAAUUUCAUAGAGGCCGGAAAACAGAAAACUAAAGGGAUCAACCAAUUUCAUUGGACUAGUAGAUUUCAACCAAUUUCAAUUGUUUUUCUCUUUUUGGGUUCAAUUAGAUUGGAUUGCACUUAAAAUCUCCAAAACCAACUUAACUGGAUCACAGAAUUUAUUUAAGCCAGAGGAGUACAUUGACUCCAAUAUUACAUCCACCUAAUUAUGCAUAAACAAGGUAAGGUUGCUCAUUUUGGCCUCGACUCAGAAGAAGAAGUGGGAGGACGAACAGAGCAAACUCGGAUGAAACGGUGAAUCAGCAUGGCCUUCACUAACCUCCUCCUUGCUGGAAUUACAGUUCCAGAUUUUGGUUUGAACACCAACAAUGGCUCCUCAGUGUUGUUGUCGAUGUGGGUUUGUGCUGGUUGAUGAUCUUGAGGCGGCUUCAACUUCACCACCUCCUCUGGGCACUCUGUUUUCUGAUUUGCCAUCUUAUCUUUCUCUCUCUCUUUUCUGAGCUGAGCCCGAGGGUGUGUUUAAUUUGGUGUUUGUGGGGAGUUAAUUACUAAUUUGAGCCUUCUUUGAGAGUUUAAAUAAUCGAACAAAGAAGUGGGAUAUAUCUGGCAAAAAGAGAAGAAUCAGAUUCUGUGCAAGCCAUUAACUACAUAUCCCUUGUGUUAAUUAAUUACAAACAUUUGUCAUUUGCAUUUUUAAUUCCUGUGUUACUGCUUCCCGUUAUGAUUAUCUUUUUCCUUCUUGCCAUAGCCAUUGACAAAAAGGGGCAACAACUUUAUAAUAUUAGGUUAAAAAAUGGUUAUCAAUAUCAUUGUUUUGGCUUUGUACAUAUUCUAUUUUUAAUGUCGAUAUAUGAUCGACAUUAUUAGCCUCAAUGAAAACGUACUGAUAUAUUAUUGGUAUAUUUUUUGUAAAGAUCGAUAAAUAAAGACUGAAUGCUCGUAACAGGAGAAACACUUGUGCAAUGGGAGUUUGAGUUUAGUACAACUAUGAUUUUGUAUUUUUCUUAAUAUAAAAUCGGCAGGUGACGUCAGGUAGCAUGACGUGGGAAAUAUAUUGGAUGCAACCAUGAGACCGAGAGAGAGAGAGAGAGAGAGAGAGAGAGAGAGAGAGAUGAACAACACAUCAAUUGUUUAGUCUUUAAUAAACUUUUAGGGAGGAGAAAAAAGUGAAUUUAAUUCUCUUCUUUUUCUCUUCCCAUAUAUGCAGGAAUUGAUUUGAUUCAUAUAUAUCUUCAUUUUUUUUUUUUUACUCUCUAGACUGUGCUACUCUUUGCAGCAAAUAAAUCUAAACGACAAAACUGGAUGCGUUUUGACCACUUUUAGACCCUGCACAAAAUCAUAUAUGCUGCUAAGUUGCUAACCCUAGAAAAUACAAAUCAUAGACUUUAUCAAACAUUUUCUUCAAGGCUCGUCUACACCAGUUGUGUCGUUGUCUUUGUUUUCGGCAGACUUGGUGUGGCCGACAGUGUUUAAAUAGCUAGGUAGAAAUGUGACAUAAAGUCUAGGUGUGACAAAUUUCAAACUCGUCCUUAUAUUCCCUGCUUAAUUAUUUCCAUCGUUUUUAAUAACUGAAGUACGUAAGUCACACACUUUUUUCUUUCUUAUUGUGAUGAACGGUGAUUUUCAGUCUUUUUCCUUCACUGAAUCAAUCUAGAAACAAAGCCAACGAAGCAACAGCAAAGACAAAACGACAAGUGAAAACUGGGCCCCUUUCCCUUCAACUUUGUUAAAGCCAUCUCCAGCCAUGCACUGAUGUGAAAGAGAUAGCACAUCAAUUCCUUAAUCUUUAAUAAAACUUUACGGAGGAAAAAGAAGUGGAUUUAAUUCUCUUCUUUUUUUCUAGUCCCUAUACUCUGAUACUCUGUGAGGUACGCAAAUAAAACUGGAUGACGUAUCAAAAAAAAAAAGAAAAAAAAAGUGGAUGCCCUUUGACUACUUUUAAACCCUACCCAAGAUAACAUAUGCUAAGCCCACAAAUAUUAUUUGAAGCCCCUCCCCUCUGAAUAGUUCAAAGUAAUAAUAGUAAUAUGUAAUCACUAAAGUAAGCAGUUCAACUUCUUUUUUGUGAUGGACGGUUUGGAUGAGUGGUUUCCAAUCUUGGUGCUCAACCUUUUUUCUUCACUGAAUCUAGAAACAAAGCAAACGAAACAAGCAGAGACAAAAUGACAAGUUAAGAAAUUUUGGGACCCUUGGUUCUUCAACUUUGUUAAUGAGGGUAUUUGGGAUGCGCGAUUAUCACAUGAACUUUAAGUAUGUGUAUGAUUAUCACAUGAACUUUUAAUUUUAAUUAUUAAUCACCAAAACUUUAUAAAAUGUAAUAAUUUACCAUCUACGUAUAAUUCCAUUAAAAUUUCCGUUAAGUCAAGUCAUAUUAUAAUUACAGAAACUUAACAAAUUUGAAAAUAAUUAUAACAAAAAAUAAAAAUCAAGCAUAUUAUCUCUCGCCUCCCCCAACAUCUUUCUCCUGCAUUAUCAUUUUGCAAUUCAAGGUGAAGUCUUUCGAAAAGUGGGAGAUAUGCUCAAGAGUUCUCUAAUACAUUAAAACUUAGCAAUUAUGUCCUUUUCCUUUUUUCUUUGUGCUAGUAAAAUUAAACUUCGCAAACCUAGUUAUGGCAGAAUUUGUUAUUGAUUUGCAGAGCUUGGCUCAUUGUUUGUGCAGUGGGGGGAAGAGAGAGAGAGAGAGAGAGAGAGAGAGAGAGAGAGAGAGAGAGAGAGAGGAGUUUUAGGGCGAGUGUGGGAUAGGAGGGAUGGAUUGUUGUGGGCUGUGGCCUUUUGGUUAGGAAGGGGGCUGUCAUGAAGGAGAAGGGGGAAGGGGAGCUUGUGGGAUAAUUAGGUUGAAUUUUGUUUCUUUUUUUUAAUUAUGUUAGUUUAAAAAAAUGUAAGUUUUUAAUUAUAAUAAAUUGAUUUGGCAAAAAAUAAAAUAAUGAAUUGAUGAAAAUCACUUAAAAAAAAUAUUACAUGUUCAACAUGCGACUUUAUUUAAUGGAAAUUUUAACGGAAUUACACGUAUGAGGUAAAUUGCUACACUUUGUAAAAUUGAGGUAAAAAUUGAAAAUUCUAGUGGUAAUCGCACACAUAUCUAAAAAUUUAAGUGAUAUUUACGCAAAUUCUAAGAAAAAUUAAUUAAUUUAGAAAGUGAAAAGUGAAAACUGUCAAUCUUUUGAAGAAAUUGUAAUUAAGGAAGUGACCGACGCCUCCCUUCCCUUCCAGGCAUUGAGAUUUCGUUACUUGUCUACAUUGCAUCUCAUUUCCUUAUAGAAACUAGUAACGCAGAAAAAGAAGUUGAUUUUAAAACACUAACACACAAAUGAUAGCACAAGCAUACUUGAUAUACAUUUUGGAAAAAGCAAGUCAAAAUAACAUCAUCGAUCUACUGUUCUUGCAGGAGGAGAGAAAUAGAAACAUACCAGCACAAAGAAAACUUGAGUACAAAGAGUGAAAGAGCCAAUGCAACUACUGUCACAGAAACCCUUGCAAUUGAUCUCGGCACAGAAUCCUAGCACCCAAACACAAAACGCAAACAGAACAACAAAAAAUCUUCAAUUUCUACUAAAAGCAAGAAAAACAGCCUGCAUUGAAAUUGCACAAUCGAUAAAAGUUUGAAAGUGUAGACUAAACAUAACUUACCGGCACAAGAUUGGUUCCUGCCUCAAUUCCAUCUCUCCCAACCUUCCAAACUGUUUGUACAACUAUUUCACACAAUUCAAACCAGCAGUCAACACAAAUGUAAACAUAAAACUCAACGGUAAACUAUUUGCUCUCUUGUAUGAGCAGGAAAGCAGCAAAAGUAUGUGAUGCAGAAAGGUAGAAACACUGUGAAUUGGAUGUAAAAAUCACUGAAUUGAAACAACGGACUUCCAAAGCACUGAAUUGAAAUCCACAAUCAAUGUUAAAAAUCGCUAGGCGGUAGUCGGGCGCCUAGGCGUUUUUUUUUAAUUUAUAAUUAUUUUGUAUUAAUCGCGGCCUGGUGAUGUUCGUCGCCGGUGGAGGCCUGCUGGUGGUGGUCUGUCGUGAGAGAGAGAGAGAGAGAGAGGAAAAAAAAAAAAAAAUUUUUAAGGAACUGACCCGCCCAGGCUGCCUAACUCCCGCCUAGCCGCCUAGCCCCGCCUAGGCGGAUUUUUCGAACACUCGACAAUUUAACGUUAAAAAUUGUCAUAAUCUAACAGAAAUUAACAUGCUUUCGACAGAUAUUCACCAAUACAAUGCUAUUCAGUUGCAAAAAUACCUUUUAUCCAAAUCCAAAAACCAAAAAUAUAAAAACACGAUUCAUAAAAUAGCAAAUUCGACGAACCCAUUAAACAACAAUGUUCAGGGAUCAUAAAUACCAAACAGAAGAAGAAGAAGAAGAAACGCAAGGAAGUGCAGCUAGCUAACCUUUUAAGAAAUUGGACUGUGCAGCGAACACAACAGGAACAGAGCGAUACCAUCAAUAUCUUUCUCCAAUUUGAUUACUUUACGCAGACUAAUUGAGAGCUGGAACCGCCAUUUUAGCUUUCAACCAGUGAGUCUCUCACUUUCUCUCUCAGCCUCACAAGCAGCGGCUGUGGCCUUUUGGUUAGGAAGGGGGCUGUCAUGAAGGAGAAGGGGGAAGGGGAGCUUGUGGGAUAAUUAGGUUGAAUUUUUUUUUUCUUUUUAAUUAUGUUAGUUUUAAAAAAUGUAAGUUUUUAAUUAUAAUAAAAUUAUUGGCAAAAUAAAAAAAUAAAAAAAUUGAUGAUACUCAAAAUAGCACUUAUUCAACGUGUGACUUUAUUUAAUGGAAAUUUUAACGGAGUUUACACGUAGAAGGUAAAUUGGUACACUUUGCAAAGUUGAGAUAAAAAUUGAAAGUUCAUAUGAUAAUCGCACACAUACCUAAAAAUUUAAAUAACAUUUACGCAAAUUUCCCAAAAAAUUAAUUAAUUUGAAAAGUGAAAAGUGAAAACUAUCAAUCUUUUGAAGAAAUUGUAAUUAAGCAAGUGGCCGACGCCUCCCUUCCCUUCCAUGCAUGCAUUGAGAUUUCGUUAUUGCUUGUUGUUUCUUUUUUGUUUCAAGACAAAUACUUCAAAACGCUAUGCUUUAUUAGGCCAAAAUUAACCAUUAAGCAGAGAAAGAAACCACACCAUUAUAUUAAUUAAAGCCAAGAAACUACAUCACACAUCACUACACACAAAGAAAUUAAAUAAACGAAAACAUUUGCAUGCCUAGAGGAGAUCCAUACUUUUCACUAUCGGAAAAUAUCCAAUUCUUACGAAGAGAAGUCCUACUGCCGCCGGCCAUCUUCGAGCUUUUUGGGAGUUUUCGAGUUCAUUCUCAUGUCUACCAUCAACCACUUCGUGAUUCUCGAUAAAUUUAUCAUGUUCUAAUUUCCUUUUGCUUGGACUAAGAUGCAGUUUAGCCAUGAAUACCUUAUUUAUGAGUUUAUGUUAAUUUGAUAUUAUUUUUCAUAUUAAGUAUCUUUUACCGUUCUUAAUGCUUUGAGUGCUUCAUCACCACUUAAUAUAUUGUAGGUUUUGGUGUUUGUCAUUUCUCAACCUUAUUAGUGUCAGACUUAGAGUGAAUAAUAAAGCGGUUUUUGAUGAUGCAUGGGAUGUUACAUUGUGAGACGCAACCAUUGACGUAAAGUUAAAGCGUGCGGCUGAAUAAUCUCUUUGUCUCUUUUUUCUUUUUCACCAAUUUAUUGUAUUUUUAAAGGGAAUGAAAGAAGAUAACAAUGUGAGUAGUAAAUCCAAUGAAAAUGGAAAAGAAAAUCAAAAUAAUUAACAUGACUAUCAUAACAAGGAAAAUGCUAGAGAUACCUACUAAUUACAUCAAUUUUGAAUCCUAACUGUUGUGACAAUAUUUUAUUUGCUAUAUAUAAAGUUGAAAGUAGAUUAUUAGGUCAUGUUUGGUAUCCUACUCAAAAAAGUAAAUUCAAAAACUAUGAUUUUUUUUUUUAAAACAUGAGCUUUCAAAUAGUGAUUUUAAGAUGUAAAAACUUAAUCCGACAGAAAAAAAAAAUCUAAAAACUUGUUUGGUAUUGAACUCUAAACUAUUUUUAAGAUCUAAAAAAAUUGAAAUUAAAAUCAAAAAAUCAGAAACCCUAGAUUCCCAAAUUGAAAUUAACAAAAGAAAAUUAGGAGAGAGAGAGAGAGAGAGAGAGAGAGAGAGAGGAAGAGGGAGACGGGAGAUGGGAGACAGGAGGAGGAAGAGAUAGAGAUGAGAUGAGAGAGGGAGGAGAGAGAAAGAGACGGAGAGAGCGGGGAGAGAGAGGGGCAACAACUUUGUAAUAUUGGGUUAAAAAAUGGUUAUCAAUAUCAUUAUUUCUGCCUUGUACAUAUUCAAUUUUUAAGACCGGAUGUCCAUAACAGUUGAAACACUUGUGUGCAACGGGGAUCACUGUUUUGCUAUUCUAGCCAAUCACGCAUAUGAUAACUUUUCCACUUGAAAUAGCGUGAUUAGACAAGAAUAGCAAAACAAUACUAUCCAUGUUCCAUAUAAGUUUUUCUGUCGUAAUAGACAAUUACUGAGAAUUUUUAUUUUUUAUUUAUUUUUUUAUUUUAUCAUUACAAUGUUUUUUAACAUAACAACUAUGAUUUCGCAUUUUUCUUAAUAUGGAAUCAGCAGGUAACGUCAGGUACCAUGACGUGGGAAAUAUGUAUAUGUGAAUUGGAUGCAACCAUGAGAGAGAGAGAGAGAGAGAGAGAGAGAGAGAGAGAGAUGAACAACAUAUCAAUUGUUUGGUCUUUAAUAAACUUUUAGGGAGGAGAAAAAAGUGAAUUUAAUUCUCUUCUUUUUCUCUUCCGAUAUAUGUCUUCAUUUUUUCUACUCUCUAGACUCUGCUAGACUCUUUGCAGCGAAUAAAUCUAAACGACCAAACUGGAUGCGUUUUGACCACUUUUAGACCCUGCACAAAAUCAUAUAUGCUGCUAACCCUCUGUCAAUUUCCUGCAUAACAUGUUGAUAUACACAGGCAAUAGCCACGACCAACAAAUUUCUCCACAUGUCAUGCGUGUACAUAUACAUAUUAAUCAAUAAGAUUAAUUUGAUGAUGAAAGUAGCUAGCUAAUUGGUGUGGCUCAUUUGGGUUGUGUUGUUGUCUUUGUUUUUGGCACAACAAAAGUCGGCGGACUUCAUCAGUAACCAGUUGGUGUGGCCGACAAUGUUUAAGUAGCUAGCUAGAAAUGUGACAAAAAGUCUAAGUGUGACAAAUUCAAACUCUUGUCCUUAAUUUCCUAAUCCCCCUAAAUGCCAAAAAGAAAAUGUUAGAUUUUUAUAGUGUCUAUAAUCUUUCACAUAACCUGAAAUACAUAAAAGAUAUAUCUAGCGUCAUUUUCCUUCAGUAAAUGAUUUCUGAACUCAUUCAAUCGCAGCAACAACAACUCUAACAAACGACACAAAUGGCUCAAGACUUCUGCUCUCUCUCAGAAACUAUUUCAGUUAUCUCUUUAUGAUGAGAUUAGGGUUAGAGAACGUGUCUGAUGAGAGCAUGGUCUUAAGCUUAUAUAGGGUUAGGUCAAGUCGUCUCUACUCAUCACUAAGACCCGACUUGACUAACACUCUAAGCCUAUUAAGCGACAGUUCAUGCAAAAGGAAAUAAAUAGGACCCUCCAGUUGGCUUCAAAAUUUUCCUUAUUUCACAAGAUUUUGGGUUUUGGGUCUCAAGGUACAGCAUAAUUUAAACUUUUAUCAAACCUGAUAUAACUUAGCAUCUAGUGCAUCGAUCUAAAAAAUAACAUAAUAGAAAAAUCCUUCUUCCAUCAAAAGGUCAUCUCUACAUCAAGUAAAAUCCACUGGUUAAUUAUUUUCAUCAUUUUUCAGGUGAAUAUUCUUUCUUGACAGGGAAAAAAAAGAAAAGAAUGAUGAGUCGUCAAAAUCUUGAAGAUUUCUGUUCUUUCUCCACCUCCCUGACAAUUACAGAAAGACACUUUACAUAAUUGUAAGGCUGGAAAAAUUUACUCUCCACAUCUUCGUAUGUGGUGGACAGUAAGGGAUUUAUUAAUUGAGUAAUAUAAAACACUUUAUCAAACUAGUUCUUGAAGAAAAGAAUAGAAAUAGUAAAUGUAAUAAUUAAAGAACGUAAGUCACACACUUUCUUCUUUGUUAUUGUGAUGGACGGUGAUUUUCAAUCUUUUUGCUACACUGAAUCAAUCUAGAAACAAAGCCAUCGAAGCAAUAGCAAAGACAAAACGACAAGUUGAAAACUGGGGCCCUUUCUUUUCCUUCAACUCUGUUAAUGCCACUGCCAGCCAUAUGAGAGAGAGAGAGAGAGAGAGAGAGAGAGAGAGAGAGAGAGAGAGAAGUGGCAAAAAGAAGGGUUUGGUUCGGGACAGAAAAGAAAACUAUCUAUCUAUCAAUAAUCUCCUGGAUGGAACAAGUCUAUAUGAAAUGCAUGCGGGCGGGACCAAGUUUAUCUGUAAAUUAUGAGGAAAAGUUGCACGCUUAGGACGUGGGAAAUUCAUAUAUGAAAUGAAAUAUGGAUGCAACCAUGUGAGAGAGAGAGAGAGAGAGAGAGAGAGAGAGAGAGAGAGAGAGAGAGAGAGAGAGAGAGAGAGAGAGAGAGAGCAUCAAUUCCUUAAUCUUUAAUAAACUUUACGGAGGAGAAAGAAGUGGAUUUAAUUCUCUUCUUUUUCUAAUCUCUAUACUCUGCUACUCUUUGAGGUACACAAAUAAAACUGGAUGACGUAUAAAAAAAAACUGGACGCCUUUUGACUACUUUUAAACCCUACCCAAAAUAGCAUAUGCUAAACCUACAAAUCAUGUUCAAAUUGAACCAAACAUGCUUCCAGAAACACUCGCAUUUGGAUAUAUGGUGCUUUACGCAAAGAAAUUAGGUCCACGUGUAAAAGAGCUUGAAUUAUACAGGGUUAUUUUCAUUUGCCAUUGUCCAAGCCCAUCUCUCACUCCUCUUGGGUGUCUAGUAAUUGUAGAAGAUUAAUUUUACAUGAUUCUCACUACAUAAUUAAUAGUCACGAUGGGGUGCUUAAAAACACUAGCGACAUCUAAUAGCUAAUAAUAACUAUAUCAUAAAAUAAAGUAAGACUGCCGAAAUUUGAAGAGAAAUUUUUCCGACUCAUUUUUCAAUCCUGGAUCCGUGCCUCAAGACUGUAAUAUUGUUUUCUUCAAGUGUUCGGGGCUUUGGUCGUAAUUAUAUAUCUUGCUAAUUGGAGUACAUGUAUUAACAAUGAUGAUAUAUAUAUAUGUAGGACUGAAGCCCCUCCCCUCUGAAUAGUUCAAAGUAAUAAUAGUAAUAUGUACUCAUUAAAGUAAGCAGUUCAACUUCUUUUUUGUGAUGGACGGUUUGGAUGGGUGGUUUCCAAUCUUGCUGCUCAGCCUUUUUUCUUCACUGAAUCUAGAAACAAAGCAAACGGAACAAGCGGAGACAAAAUGACAAGUUAAUAAAUUUUGGGACCCUUGUUCUUCAACUUUGUUAAUGAGGGUAUUUGGGAUGCACAUGCAAAUGGAAUCUUAGAACAUAUUUUUUCGUUUAAAAAAAAAUUUAAGAAAAUUUGCAUAAAUACUACCUGAAUUUUUAAGCAUGUGCGCAAUUACCACAUAAACUUUUAAUUUUAAUUAUUAAUCACCUAAACUUUAUAAAGUGUAACAAUUUACCAUCUACGUAUAACUUCAUUAAGAUUUUCGUUAAGUCAAGUCAUAUUAUAAUUAUAAAAACUUAACAAAUUUGAAAAUAAUUAUUAAAAAAAUAAAAAUCAAGCAUAUUAUCUCUCGCCUCCCCCCAACAUCUUUCUCCUCCAAUACCCUUUUGCUUAGGAAGGGGGUUGUCAUGAAGGAGAAGGAGGAAUGGGAGCUUGUGGGAUAAUUAGGUUGAUUUUUUUUUUUUUGCUUUUUAAUUAUAUUAGUUUUAAAAAAUGUAAGUUUUUAAUUAUAAUAAAUUGAUUUGGCAAAAAACUAUAUACAAUGAAUUGAUGAAAGUGUAUUUUAAAAAAUAUCACAUAUUCAAUGUGUCACUUUAUUUAACGGAAAUUUUAACGGAGUUACGCGUAGGAAGUAAAUUGCUACACCUUACAAACUUAAAGUGUUCAAUAGUAAAAAUUGAAACUUUAGGUGGUAAUCGUGUACAUACCUAAAAUUAGUUAAUUUAGAAACUGGAAAGUGAAAACUAUCAAUCUUUUGGAGAAAUUGUAAUUAAGCAAGUGGCGACGCCUCCCUUCCCUUCCAUGCAUUGAGAUUUCGUUAUUUUAUUUGUUUCAAGACAAAUACUUCAAAACGCUAUGCUUUAUUGCCUUGAGUUUUUGGUAGGCCAAAAUUAACUAUUAAGCAGGGAAAGAAACCACACCAUUAUAUUAAUUAAAGCCAAGAAACUACAUCACACAUCACUACACACAAAGAAAUUAAAUAAACGAAAACAUUUGCAUGCCUAGAUAUCCAGAACAUUUGCAUGCCUAGCGAUGCAUGGCCGAAGCUAGGUUAAUUAAUUAAUUUGGGUAAACGUGGUUACUCUUCUUGGUGUUGGAUGUUUUGGGCUUGUCCUGGGUUUCAGAGACUCCAGAUUCAGAAGCCAUGGAAGGACAAACAUGGAGUAUCUGAUCAAGCAUCAUGCUCUUUACUAACCUCCUCUUUGCCGGAAUUACACUCCCUGGUUUUGGUUUGAACCAUGGCUCCUCCUCCCUCUCAGUCUUGUUCUCGUGGGCUGUGAUUUCUUGAGAUGGCGUCAGCUCCUUAUUUGGCUCUUUAUUGCCCCCCACGUACUUAUCUUCCAUAUCUUGGGUCAAGUUCAAUGCCAUCUCUCCUUGUUUUGAUAACAAAGAGAUGAAGAUGGUGAAGAGAUUUAGAGAGAGAAACAGCAGAGAGAAGAGUUCAGAGAAAAGUUGAAAAAUAUGAUGAAUUGCAUGAGGAUUAGACUAGAGUAUUUAUAAACCGGAUUGGAAUUAAAGUUCCAAGUCUGUUAUUACGAGUUUCACCCCUUUAGAAAAAAAAAAAAUUGUAAAACAUGAUGUGUUGAAAUUUUGUCCAAUUUAACAAGUUCAGUCUUAGUAUUUAUAAGUAGUUCAUCUAACAUCGGCCAUAAUAUAAAUUCAAUUUAAUUGAAAAUAUCCAGUUUAAAUCGAGUCAUCAAACGACACGGACCAGCACAAGACUUGGUAACUAACAAUGAAAUCAUGUUAUUAUGUCUGAAACCGCACAUGAUAUAUUGUAGGUUUUGGUGUUUGUCAUUUCUCAACCUUAUUAGUGUCAGACUUAGAGUGAAUAAUAAAGGGGUUUUUGAUGGAUGCAUGGGAUUUUACAUUGUGGGACGCAACCAUUGACGUAAAGUUAAAGCGUGCGACUGAACAAUGUCUUUGUCUCUUCUUUAGUUUUCACUAAUUUAUUGUAUUUUUAAAGGGAAUGAAAGAAUGAUAACAAUGUGAUUAGUAAUAGUAAAUUCAAUGAAAAUGGAAAAGAAAAUCAUAAUAAUUAAUAUGACUAUCAUAACAAGGAAAAUGCUAGAGAUACCUACUAAUUACAUCAAUUUUGAAUCCUAACCGAUGUGACAAUAUUUUAUUUGCUAUAAAUAUAUAAAGUCGAAAGUAGACUAUUAGGUCAUGUUUGGUAUCCUACUCAAUAAAGUAAAUUUAAAAAUUAUGAUUCUUUUUUAAAACAUGAGUUUUCAAAUAGUGAUUUUAAGAUCUAAGAACUUGAUCCAACAAAAAAAAAAGAUCUAAAAACUUGUUUGGUAUUGAACUCCAAACUAUUUUUAAGAUCUAAAAAAAUUAAAAUUAAAAUCAAAAAAAUCAAAAACCCUAGAGUCCCAAAUUGAAAUUAACAAAAGAAAAGGAGAGACGAGAGUGGGAGGAGGAAGAGAUAGAGAUGAGAUGAGAGAGGGAGGAGAGAGAAAAAAAAACUAUAAAACUUCACUUUUGUUGUUUUUAAUAAUGAGGGUGUUUUUGAGUUUUUAAAAAUGGGCCUACCAAACGGAUUUUUGUGGUUUAAAACUUAAAAUCUGUUUUUGAGUUUAUAAAAUUGAGUCAAUACCAAACAUGCCCUAAUUUUUUGAAACUUAAAAAGAAAACAAAUGAAACGAUAAUAAUAUAAGAGUGGAUAUUAAUCAUAUACAUAUAACAUUAUGGCGCGUAAAAAGUUCAUCAUCGGCUUACUCUCGAUUGGGAUGAGGGACUAAUAAACAAAAUAAAUAAAAUAAAAGUUAUAAAGCCUUUUCGGGUUUGCCCAAGCUAAAGCACUACACUUUCGGCCUUGAGCAGUAAUGCUUUACAUACUUUUCAUUUCUUUCUUAAGAAGGUCCCAAUUUGUUCAUGGAUACGUACAUGAAGUUCAUUAGGGUUGGAAUUAAAAAUUCAAAACGUGACGCCUUCCGAAGCCAGGGAUAGUGUAUGAGUGUACCCUAAAGCAAUCAUGUAAACGCAAGAUGGAAUCAUCUGAUCCAUUUACCACCGACUGGUUUAGCUUUUUUGAAGCCACUAAGCGAGAGCUUUAGAUUUCCUCUUCCAUAUGUUUGUUGCACGAGCUUUAGCUUUUUAUGCCACUAAGCUUUUUUCUUCAACAUGUUAAUCUAAGCUUACCACUUAAUUGUGUUUUAUUUUUAUUUAAUCACUGAGACAAAAGCGCACAAUGAGGUGGCUCCACAAUGAAAAAUGUUGGCGUGACUUGUGGAUAUUGACUUACUUUCCUUACACACCAAGAAUUCCUAUUAUUAAAUUAUUUUAAGUGGCUUUUUCCCUUUUCUGCCUCUCUCUAACAUUAAUGAUGAUGUUGAUACAAACAAACGUGCUAAUUAAAUGUCCAUGUCUCAUCUAAGAACUUUGAACAUAUUGAAAGCAAGUGAUGGUGACUGGCUUGGCUUCUUUUUAGGUGAAGAAAUAGGGCUAACGCCCAACAAAGAAAUUAAAUAAUGAUUUGAGGCCUUUAGACUCUAAAUAAAUUUUCAUUAAGAAAAGAUCUAAUACUAUCAAGAGAAUUAUGGAAAGUUGACAGACCCAACUCAAGACACGAACCUAAUUUAAUUAAUCUAUCUGCCACAAUAUUGUAUUCACGAUAUACAUGAUGAAUAUAACAAAUUCAAUUUUUAUUUACAAAGGAUUGGCUUCUUUUUAAAGUAAGUAAAAUACUCACGUAGUUAAUGUAAUGGAAAGGUACCCUUCGCAGUUUGCAUAUAAAUUAUUAAUUGUAGCUUUUCUUUAAUAAAAGAUAUCUAACAGUGAUUCUGUUCUAAUAAUGUUGAAGAAGGUGAGUGUGGCUUUGAGACUUCCCAUUAAGCUUCACCUUGUUAUAUAUUCAUGCGUAUCUAUCUUUCUUUGGCCUGAGUUCUUUUCCAAUCAAAAUUAGCAUCAAUCCAAUUGACUAAAUCAUCAAAUCUACAAGUUGCCAACAAAAUUCAAAAGCCACAGUAAGUUUUUUUGAUACAAGCGACUCGAAUACAGGACUUCAAUACAACUGCAUUAUAUACAUUGAAGCAAAACACCAUGGUGACCAAUUGGGUAAAACUUCAAUCCAAGACAAGACUUUUCUUUUUGCAAUACAACACUUGUAUUUUGUUACUCUCUCUCUCUCUCUCUCUCUCUCUCUCUCUCUCUCUCUCUCUCUCUGGGUAAUUGAUUUAUUAUGCAUUGGUCUAAUGGAAUUGGACCCACAAUAAGUUCUUUGCUUUAGCUCCAACAAGAAGUGACCCCAACAUCUCCCCCCCAUGCAUGCAUUGGUUUCAAUUUUUUAUUUUUUAUUUUCAAUUGGAAUUGGCAAUUUCACCCGUGGUGCUAUAGUAAAGGGUAAGGGCAGACACUAUUUGCGUAAAUAGUGAUUGCCCUAUCCUUUUAAUUUUGCUUUUUCACCUAUUGUCAUGUCAAACUAAGGACAAUUACUAUUUAUAUGAGAUUAAUUUUAUUUAUAUGUAAAAAAACAAAUAUUUCUUAAUGUUUUUGAAUUAUUCAGAAUUUUUUUCAAUUUUUUAUAAAAAAAUUUACGUUGACGUCAUCGUCCUUAGACAAUAGCUAUUCUUGCCUUCGGCACCCAAGCUUGGUGAAGCCUACCAUCUGUAUGGGCUAGAUUGCUGCGUUGGAAAUAAUUUUUGAGACCUAAUGGGCAUUUUGUUUGGACUAGACUGCUAGAGUAGAAAUGCCCUUAUUGAUCAUCAAUUUGAUGGUGGCCCAAGUUCGCUUUAAAGUACCCUUAAUUUGGUUGCUUAAUUAGUAAUAUCCUUUUUUAUUUGGCGGCAAAAGAGUACCCUUAGAUUUAUCCUAGGAAAAUUUAAGAAAAAAGAUUACAGGACAAAAGCCAAACACACAAUUAGAAUUAACACCCUUUUGGAUUAAUUUGUCUGAUUAAUUUGUCUGGAUAUAUAAAUUAAACCAAUCAAUUGUACAUUGUCCAUUCAUCCCCAAAACCAAAAGCCAGAUUAAAAGAGUGCAUACAUGAUCAUAUUCAUUAACAGCAAAAAACUUAAUUACAUCCUAUAGGAAUUAAACGGGGCAUUAAGCUUUUAAUUCUAGGGAAAGAACAUGGAAAAUUAUGUUAUAAAACUGAGUUUCCUAGUCACUAAUUGGUGAGUAUUGACCAAUUGAUUCUAACUGACUUAUUAAAAUUCAUUAGAUUAAUUUAAUAGUUAAUAUUUAUUUAAAUACGUGUAAAUAUACCGAUAUUAAAUACAAGGGCGAGAUUCGAUAAUUCGAUAUAAUUGUCAUCACUUAUAUAAAUUUUUUUUUAUACAAGUGACGCAAAGUAAAUGUUGUUAACACUGCUGCAUUAUAUAUAUUGAAGUUCGAAGGGGAAACUGGAAUAACAUUGAAGCAAAACACCAACUAUGGUGACCAAUUGGGUAAAACUUCUGUGAAGACCCGUAUUUUUCAAAAAUAUAUGAAGAAUAAAUAUUUUGCUGCCUAUUUAGUUAUAUAUUUAAAUUGAUUAUAUAUAUAUAUAUAGUUGUUUUACCAUUUUAAUAAUUAUAUGUAUUUUAUUAUAUUAAAUAUGUAUAUAAGAAGCAUGAAGUAGAUAACAUAAGCUGGAGGUGGCACCAUUUCUUGGUUGCUUAAGGGACGUGUAAACACAUAAGGUUGUUGCCUUGCUAUCCAAGUGGCUAGCUGGCUUUACUUCAUUAAAAUAUUAUCCUAAUACCAAAUGUUAGCACUUAUCCUCAACCUCCAAACAUGUCAACCAAUGAUAGACUGAUAGUUGCCGCCUUUAUUCUAGUAUAAAUACAGAGUUUGCAUUUACAAAUGGUUUACUACAUCUAGAGAAAGGCAUGCAUAGUUUGCAUGAGAAACGAGAGACAAAUAGCGGUCGAGAUAAAAAGAAAGAGAGAGUGGUAAUAAUAUUCUUGGAGGAGUUAGAGGUUGGAGCUUGUGUUUUCUUAACUUGGAGUUAGCUUUCAAAACGAGAUAGGGAUUUUUUGGUGACCUUUUACAAAGAUUGAUCUAAUUAAAUUUCGUGAGUAAUAUAUUAUACAUGAUAUUAUUAUUUGAUUAUUAUUGAUAUUGGGUGUUUAAGUGUUGUUAAUUAUCAUUAUAUCAUUUUAUUAAUAUUGACAUGAUCAUAUGUUAUGAGUGAUAGCUGGAAUUCUUGGAUUGAUAAAGAAAUUAUGGAAAAGAAGGUAAUAGGAAGGAUCUUUUGUGUAGUUGAGUUUGACCAUUGUAGAGACCAUGUUCAGGUGAGCCCAUGUGCACAGUAGACUAGGAAAUCGGCGAUAUAAUUUUCGAUUGGGUAAUUUGGGCUUGGAGAUCAAUAGUGUAGACAAGACGACUAACAAAAGGAGAAUUAUGGGAUGAUUGAAAUGGGUGUUAGUUUAUAUAAAUGGGCAUUCGGGAUCAAGUGGUAUAAGCAUGGUAUGUGACGUGCAGGUCUGCUUGUCCAGUUAUAUGAAUUAACGGGAAUAGAUGAAGAGCAUUCAUGCAUUAUUAUUAUUAAUGUGAUAUUUGGCUGUGUGAUUGCAUGUCACUUAAUUUAGUUAUAUCAAUCUACUGUGGCAAGGUCUCAUGUCCCAACUGAGUGGUGGUUGCUCAUCCUUCACCCUGUUUAAUUUUUCAGAUGAAUUAGUGGGCAAGUCAAGGACUAAACCAGUUGAGGCUGAAUUAGAUGAGAAUGAUAGAGCUUUAUUUAUUUCUUGUAAAGUUGUAAGAUUUUGGAGCUAUUUUUAUAAGAGAAAUUUUAUUUUAAACCCAUGUUUCGGCUUUUUUUAAUUUAAUUUUAGUUUUUAUUUUCUCAAACACCGGGCUCGGGGUUUCCACCGACCCCCGGGUCUAGGGCAUGACAACUUCAAUCCUAGACAGACUUUUUAUUUUGUUACCUCUCUCUCUCUCUCUCUCUCUCUCUCUCUCUCUCUCUCUCUCUCUCUCUCUCUCUCUCUCUCUCUCUCUCUCUCUCUCUCAUUGGUUAAUUGAUUUUUUAUGCAUUGGUCUAAUGCAAAUAUGCCCAAGUUAGUAUGAACUUGUUGAAGUUGACUAGCUUAAAAGAGGUGAAAGGUAUAAAGGAAACAGUCAGUCAAAGAGCUGUAGACAAGUUGACUGGGCUCUGGCACUCGAGCAGCAAAUAGGUGUCUUGAGUGGACGCAGACGCUCGAGCUGGAGGCGCGGAUCCUUGGCAAAUUAGGAUAGAUUUCUUCCUAGUAUUGAGGGUUCUUUAAAUCUCAUAUUCCUUGUAUGAUUGUACUAAAGUCCUAUAUCAUAUAAAUAGGUACUUUAACUCUAGGUUUUAAUAAUGUGAGAAAAUUAAGGCAUUAAAUUGGGUUUGAGCAAAAGGUGUGAGAAAAAAAGAGUUAGGGUGGGGUUCUGCAUUGUAACCAAAGAGGUUUUUUCAUACUAGUGAAUUUCUAGGGGAUCGCCGAAGAGGACGCAGGCACAACGCCGAACCUUCAUAAAUUAUUAUGUGUCUGUGUGUGUGUGUUUACUUUUCUGGUUCGCCUGUGCUUUAUCUUUGCUUGACUUGUAUGUGAUAGUUGCGUAAUCCAUCAACAACAAGGUCUUGGAGUGUUUUUCACAACACUUUGCUCCUCCAAUUUCUUUCUUUGCUCUUGAAGAUUUGCUAGAUAUGGUUGUUUUGUUUGUCCCUCGUCCCCUACUUGACAAACAUGAAAAAGAGAUAAAAUCCAAAAGGCAAGCAUAUACAUGACAUUUCAAAGAAGACAAAUAUCCGACUGGGCCCUAUUUCAUAGAGGCCGGAAUUGAUCGAGCAAUGCAAAACUGUAGGGAGUUUUUAGAUGCUAAGGCCAAAUCUCCGGUGCCUUUUGGGGACGCUUCAGUUGAUCCAAACUUUCUUUCUCAAGGUGGAGGCCUCCAAUGUCAAACUAUGUGAAAAUAAAUUUUGAUGGAGCUUGGAAAAAUGACUCGCAUUUGGCAGGGUUGGGUAUAGUUGCUAGAAAUGCUACCGGAUCUUUUUGUGGUGGUUUAGCAACUCCAUUCCAUUGCAACUUGGCUCUGGUUGCAGAGGCAGCUGCUGGCCUUUGCGCUUUCAAAUUUUCUAUGAAUCAUAUGUCACAUCCGGGGAUCGGCUCCGCCGUAGCACGAUAUUGUCCUCUUUGGGCCCCCCUUUCUGCCCUCACAAUUUUGUUUCUGGGAACUCACGAGCAACUUCCCAAUGGGUCACCCAUCCUUGGAUUGCUCUGGCCCCAACUCACUUAACUUCCGAGUUCCCCUGACUCCAAAACAAGUGAGCUCUCAAAAGGCCUCGUGCUAGAUGGAAACGGACAUGUACAUAUAAGGCACAUCACCCCCUCUCCGUUGGUCGAUGUGGGAUGUUACAAUCCAUCCCUCUUAGAGGCCCGACGUCCUCAUCGGCACACUCGCACCAUACGACAAAGUGGCUCUGAUACCAAAUUGUUAUAUCCCGGGAUCGGCUCCGCCGUAGCACGAUAUUGUCCACUUUGGGCCCCCCUCCCUGCCCUCACGGUUUUGUUUUUGGGAACUCACGAGCAACUUCCCAGUAGGUCACCCAUUUUGGGAUUGCUCUGGCCUCAACUCGCUUAACUUCGGAGUUCCCAUGAUUCUAAAGCCAGUGAGCUCCCAAAAGGCCUCGUGCUAGAUGGAAGCGGGCAUGUACAUAUAAGACACAUCACCCUCUCUCCGUUGGUCGAUAUGGGAUGUUACAUCAUAAUUUCACAUACAUUAUUCUCGAGACGAAUUUGAAGAUUCUGGUGGAAGGAGUCAGAGGAGGAGAAAAAAAAUGGUGUUUGGGCUAUCCAACCUCUUAUGGAUGAGUUUAAGAAGAUCUCUAUUUGUUUUAGAUCUGUUCUUUGGAGCUGGGUGCCAAGGAAAUUGAACCGCGCAGCGCACAAGGCUGCAUCGAUUGGAAUCAGAGCGGAGCAAUAGGAAAGUUGGGAUGUCAGGCCACCUCCGUCUCUUGUGGGAGUUCUAAUGGCCUCUCUUGUCCUCCAUGGAGGUUUUCAUAAAGAAUUGUUGCUUUAGUUUUGCUCUUUUGUGACUUUGGCUAUUUGUCUCGGCUCUCUGUAUGGAGCUUAGUUUAGCCUCUCUCUUGUUUGUUGUGUUUUAUUGGCGCUAUUUUAGCGUUCAGUUUAAUGAAGUUCUUAUUCAGACCGAAAAAUAAAAAACCAAAAAAACCUCCCAAUACAUGUCAUGUCAUGUUUUACUUUGUGUAAGGCCUCAUUCGAUUCUCGGAGAACAUUUUAGAAAAUCCGGAUAAAGUUUGAAAUAUUCAAACCAUAUGGGGAUGAUUAAUUAGAUUGGAUUUCAAGUAAAAUCUCCAAAACCAACUUAAUUGGAUAAUCACAAUGCAGAAGGUUCUCUAAACUUCAUGUAUUAUAUUUAUUGUCGGGGGCAUGCAUUUCUAACUAUAAAUACUUGUAAUAUGUGGAGUUGCAACGAACAAAUUUGUGAGUUUGAUUUGAGUAUUCAAAUAAAGUUAGUGCGGAUCUCUCUUUCAUAAGUGUCUUUCUCUAUGUUAAGAGUUUGUUUGCUUCGUUCUUCUAGUUCUCUACUUGUUAGGGCGGCACUAGAAGCAGAGUUUCGGGGUUUUCAGGUCUCUCCUAGCCACUUGGGAGACAGUGGACCUAUCUAUUUUCCAUCUCAAUUCUGUUCUCGAAGAAUUUUAGGGAUGUGCAUUGGUUCCAUCACCUUACGCUGCAUCACAUUGUCAUCAGUCAUUUGUAUCACCCCGGCAAGCAACAAAUUAUAUCCAAGUAGAACAUAGGAAUCGUUCUAGAAGAUUGUUCCAUAAAAAAGACAGAUGGCUUUGACAGAAGCCAGUGAUUAUAGUUGCAAGGUGAGGCUGGUUUGGACUUUUAAUUAGAAUAAUAAAUAAUCGAAAAUAAAGAAGUGGGAUAUAGAAAAGAGGAAUCAGAUUCUGUGCAAAAAAUUAGCUACAUAUCCGUUGUGUUAAUUAAUUAGAAAUAUAAAGCAUCUUCCUCGUGAAAUAUCAAACAUUAAAUUUGAAUUUGAUAAUUUAUAUUGCAAUUUAACAUGUAAUAGAGAGAGUUUUACAUUCUUCUCGACUUGUCAAAUUAAAAUGUUAUUUUAUUACGUAAUGUACUAGUUUAUUACUUUCUAGAUACGUUGAUUGAAAAUAAAUAAUUAUAUUAUAUUAUAUUAUUAAAUCCCUCCUCCUACAACUCUCACCAAAGUUUAUAUUCCUCGUAUCAUAUUAUAAAGCGAAUUACAUCACACAUUAAAAAACAAAAAAAUUGUAAGUCUAAAACAAAACUUUUGUAUUUCAUGUUUAGUUUUUAACUUCUUUUUUCUCAUUAAUUAAUUAAUUAAUUUAUUGAUAUAUGUGUGAUGGGAGGGGCAGAGAAUUCAUUUCCCCACUGAAAGAGGGGAUGAGGAGCCACCAAUUUGAAUAUUACAAAUAUGUAGGCCAAAAUAGGGGACAAAACUUUAACGAGAAUAGAAAUAGAAACGAUAUAUCCUUCCUUGAUUUGACCCAUUGCCAUUCCUAACUCUAUACAAAGACUUUGGGUCUUUAUUGUUGGUACACUAUCGAUAAUAUGUUGAUAUUAUUAUAGUUAGAAAAAGCGUUCCAACAUAUUAUCGAUAUAUUUUUGCAAAGAUAGAUAAAUAAAGACCUUUUUUAUUUUUAAAUCAAUACAUUGACAGUUUUCCACAUCCUUUUCUUCUUCAAUCAACUUAAUAAUUAAAACUUUUUUUUUAGAACAAUUGAUUAAUGUGUUGAUAUACACACAAGCUAAUUACCUAGUACGGACAAUUUUCCCCAACUUCCAUGAACGUGCAUAUCAAUAAGAUUAAUUUGAUGAUGAAAGUAGCAAGGUACCAGCAAAGACUUUUAACAUCAAACAUUUUCUUGAAGGCUCAUUUGGGUUGAGUCGUUGUCAGUGUCAUUGUUUUCAUUGUUUUUGGCUGUUAUGUUGGCACAACAAAAGUAGGCGGACUUCGUCAGUGAAGGAAAAAAUGUGAUAAAUUUCAGACUCUGUGUCCUUACUUUCCCAAUCCCCCUAAAUGCCAGCCAGAAAAAUCCUUGUCCCAUCAAAAGGACAUCUCCAUAUCAAAUAGACUUUUCUUUGUAUAUCAGGUGAAUAUCUUUAGAUGAUGGCUUAUAUAUUCUUUCUUGACAUGGAAAAAACAAAGAACGAAAAGUCUCCAAAAUCUCGUAGAUUUCUGGUUUUAUUAUUUUAUUAUUAUUUAUAUAAAAAAAUAUAAGUUUCACAUCGAAAACUUGAUUACAUACAAUACAAUAUAUAAUAAAUAAUAAAUAAUUUCACUACUAAUAUUACUGAAGCUUUCAACACUUAUUGAAUUUGGUAAGUGGUUAAAUUGAAAAUAAUAUCAAUAUUACUAGUAAUAAACUAUUAACUUGUAUUUUUAAAAUUCAACAUGAUAUCAUAACAGAUUGAUUGAUUUGACUGCUGCGUCUAUUAAGAAGAAGCAGCAAAAUGAAUAGUAUAAAGGAAAGAAGGCGGACCACAAAGGACUAAUUGGCCAAGAAAGUCCAUGGACUUCAAUAGACAACUUUGUUGUCCACAUUAAAGAAAGAAAAAAAUCAACUUUUCCUUGAGGAAAUUACCCUACAAGUCUACACAUUCUUUCUCCAUCUCCCUGAGUCUUUACAUAGUAGGAAUUAUAAGCAUCAAGCAAUUUACAGAGUAGAUAUUAUAAGCAGAUCAUUAAUCUAUUAAUUAACAAGCCAGAUUACAUAAUAAAAUACUUGCGGGCGCACACACGCACACACACACACACUAUAUUUUAUAUACGGUAGCUUAAUAAAUUCCCGCUUAGAGCGGUGACAUGAAUCAGCAACAAAAAAUCCUCCUCAUCACUGACCUCCUCCUUGGUGGAAUUACAGUGGCAGUAGCAGUAGCAGUUGUGUUUGGUCUGGAGCUGCAUGGCUUAGUGUCGUUGUUGUCGACCAUUUCUUCAGUUCUGUGGCACUGGUCAUCUUCCCCAUUUGAGAAUUUCAGGUUCAACGCCUUCCCUGCACCUGAAUUUGCCAUUGCCACUAUUUCUCUUUUUUAUUAGAGAGAAUGUGUGUGUGUGUGUUUGUGCACUAGUGCUGCUAAUUGUGUGUUAACCCUUAAACCUCCCCUUAGGAGAGAGUUUAAAUAGACUAGAACUGGGGCAGAAAAAAAGAAGUGGAUUCUUACGUAAGCCGUGACGCAUGCAACAAUGGUGAUUCUUAAGUAAGAAAUAGACAUAGUAAAUUAACCAAAUAUAUAAAUGUUAUUAUAUAUACGUAUAAAAUGUAACACUUGUAUUAGUGAUAAUGGUUAAACUAUAGUAUAGUGAUGUUUAGGACUUGACUGGGCCAGCUGGUCUUGUCAAGGUACAUUGAUCAACAGUCCACAUAAUUUGAUCGCUUUCAUAAUUAAUUUGCUUAAAAACAAUUGAUCAUGGCGAUAUUCUAAACUAAUCCACUUAUUUUUCAAAUUUCUCUCAUUAAUCCGACCAUUUCCGAUUUUGUAAUCAUGAUUAGAAGUGGGACAGAAAAUAAAAUAUUUUUGGGUAUUUUACCAUUUGCUUUAUUACAAAUUCUCUCUGGAAGUUUUUGUGACAAAAAUGAAUGGGAAAUGGGUUGGUGUUACAUCAAACAGCCAACAUUUCAAGAGAAUAAGUAUGAGACCAACAAAUAUAUAUUAAUAUAUUUAUUAGUAAAUAAAUAUUUAACAUGGAGAGAUCAUUAUUUAACCCUACUCGUUAAUUGUUUGUUUAAUUUUAUCUUUGGGCCAAAGCCCAAAACAACAAAGCAACCAAAAGAGGCCCAACAAAGGGAGGCAGGUAAAAGGCCUUUGAGCCCAACUCCUAACUUGAGUCCACACCACUACUCCAAAAAAGGGUGCAGUAGCAAAUGAUAGAGACAGCCACAACUCUCCAUCUGCCAAGCUUAGCUUAGUCCCAGAUAAUUAAGGAGCUCAUAAUUUGGUUUAAAAUAAACAAAAACAUAAUUUUAUUAAAUUAAGACACGUCUUUUUUCUUCUGUUCUUUUCUUUGAGUACGUAAAUAAUAGUAAAAAAAAUAUAUACAUAACCAGAGAGCUUCCAUUGAGGGAUCCCUCAAAUAAGCUUAUUUGAGGGACACCCCUUGUAGGCCCCACUCCGGAUUGUAUUUCACUAAUCCAAACCGUCUAUUUUGUAAAUACUCAUUCAAAGAUCAUCUCUACAAAAAAUCACUUGAAUCCGAUAUCAUGUGACCACUCAAUUGAGUUAUUGAAAUUUUAGUACUUUUCUUAAAGCACCGUGUUCAUUGAUUUUGUAAGACACAAUUGGAUGUCGAAACGGUUUCCGAUUUGUCUAAUUUUUUGUAAGGAUGAUCUAUGAAUGAAUACCUAAAAAAUAGAUGGUUUGGAUUAUUGGGAAAAGAAUUGUAAGGUACCCUAAAGGGCGUCCUUUUAUUUGAGGAAUCCCUCAAUAGAAAGGGACUGUAUACAUAACCAAGGAAAGAUACAAACAUUGGCACUUGUCUUUUCCUUUGCAGCUUGCAUGUAAAUUACUCGGAUGCUCUCUUAUGGGAUUAUGAGAGAGAGAGAGAGAGAGAGAGAGAGAGAGAGAGAGAGCAACAAAAAACAACAAAUUGAAGAUUGAGUAUCCUAGUCACUGGUUGGUGACAACUGACCGAUUGAUUAGGAUUUUCGAUGUGACACUGAAUAAUAAUAAAAUAAAAUAAAAACGAUUGAUGAAACUGCUGCCAAGGAGAUUGGAAACGCCUGAAAUAGCAUAAAUAAUGUUUAUACAUAUAUUCUAAAGUCAUGGUUUUCAACAACAUAUCACAUCUUCAUUUGAGCUGUAAAAUGGUGGGGUUGCACAGUGCAUUACUUAUAGCCUGGUUUUGUAACUUUCCACUAUUUAUAGGCAGGUGUUAUCUCUCUGGCUGGAAAAUUUAGAGUCAGAUGUGAUUGAUGGAUGGACUCCAUCUCCAUGGCCAGCAGAGCUCUCUCUGUUUUAUUCGUUUGGAUUUUUAUCCUCUCUGUUUUAGCUUACCAAUUUUACAUCAUCUACCAACUUCAAAAGCAUAUGUUUUUUUGGGUUGGUCCAUGAAAAUGGAACCCCACACAUUCACAUCGACACAAAACUUUGCUUUUCAAGCUUGGGGUUUAUCUUAAUUUCAUUGGGGAAAAUGGGGGUUACUGUGGAACUCCGGAUUAAUUAUAAGUCUCUAUGAAUCAAAUGAAGAAAGCAGAGAGAGAGAUAUAUCAUAUAUAUGUAUAAGAAGAUUGAGAUGAAAGAAAACCCAGGAAAAAUUUACAUCAGCAUGACCGCAAAUAUAAGCAGAAAACAGAAAAGCAUUCACAACCCUGAACUAAAAACAAUAAAACACCAGCUAUGGUGGUGGGCUUGGGUAAACUUGGUUGCUGGCGACCUUGUUGGCCUUCGAAGCAGAAGCUGAAGAAGGCCUAGUAGUAAUACUCUCUGAAACUGAAACAGAGCAAAAGCAUUGGACAAUUUGAUCAAACAUCAUCCUCUUCACUAACCUCUUCUUCACCGGGAACACACUUCCAGCUUUUGGUUUGAACAACCGUGGCUCAGCCUUGCUUUGAUCUUGAGAUGAACUCAACUUCAGCUUCAUGGGUUCCUUUGGGUGGUGGUGCUCUGUUUUGGGGCAGAGGAGGUCUUCUUCCCCAGCUGGCUUCAAGUUGUUCCACGCCUUCUCUACUUCUGAUGAAGUUUUCUUCAUUGCCAUGCCUGUAAUCUCUCUCUCUCUCUCUCUCUCUUUCUGUCUGUCUGAUUGUGGGCUUCCUUCUGGGUCGGUAUGUUUAUGAAGCCGUCUUUGAGUUUAAUAUAUGGACGAGAAAAGUUUGUUUCCUUUUCCAUUGUAGGCCCUGUCCAGAUUCCAUUGAAGGUAGGUAUGUGGGGACAUGCUGAGUAAGAGGAUAUGGUGUUUGACAAAGACAAGGACUAUGACGACUGACUUCUCUUUUUUACCCAAAAAAUAAAAAGAAAAAGAAAAAAGGGAAGGACUUCUCUUUAGACACUUGAAAGCAUACAAAAAAAAUUUGAAUAAGAGAAGGAAGCUUCGAUAAUCUUUUGUUAUUUUGUCAAACCUCUUGAAUCUAUGCUUUCAACAAGCAGAUUCCAUAUGACUUUAUGGAUAAAAAUGUAGGAAAAAACGUUUGGUUAGAAGUUGCCUGAUUGAUUUGUAUCUUCAAAGAAACGAUUUUUCUUAGGUGUUUUCACUUCAGUAAAUGCAUAGACUGGUAUUUUAUAGUUGCAGAGGUAUUGUUUUUGCUUAGCGCUUAGCGCUUAGCGCUUAGCGUGGGAGAGUAUCGGUUUCCUUUUUCACUUAGCGCUUUUUUAUAGUUAAAUUAUCAAUUUUUAGGUUUAGUUUAAUUCAAAAUCUAACAAUUCACUUGUAAGAUAAAUUUAACCAUUUCUAUUUUAAAAUCCUAAGUCGGUCCUUAAGUGUACCAAAGUCAAAAAUUAAUUUGUUCUUAGAUUGAUAAUGUCCUCGUACGAAAGCCCAAGUUGCCACUCGUGUAUCACUCUCAGAGAACGUACUAGUUGGACUGGUAAUGGAAUAAUAGAAUAAAUUAUUCAGUGCCACAUGUAUGAGGGAGGGAGUAGAUUCUAUUACCCAGAUCUCAAUGAAGACGUUUCCUAAAUUCUCUUUUAUUUUUAUUUUUUAUGUUUGGGUGUUGGAGAGUCUCCUGCUCAAUUCCUCUUCUUUAUUAAGGUUUGAGGUCAUCCGUAGUUUGUUGUUAACCAAGUUGACCUUGUUUAAAUGUGAUUGAUGCAGUAAAAAUAGUUUAUUUCUUUUUAGCAAUUGGUAUUUUACAAUUUAAAAGCUUCGAGCUAAUUUUCAAGAGUUUGAUAUCACAAGAUAAAAUAGAAAAUAUAUCAAAGUGCAUGCAAUAAAAAUUAAAUUUUUCUCUCCAAAUAGGUUCUAUAGCGGCUUUUUAUUUAUUUAUAACUUAUAGUUUUGUUGUAGCUAUAUCUUCGAAUCUUCAAACCAUUCUGCGUUUCCAUUCCAUGAGCUUGCUUGGACCUAUUAAAAUACAAAGGUGCCCUAAAAAGGCUUUUACUUUAAAAUACAAAGGUGCCCUAAAAAGGCUUUUACAUGAUAGAUUUUCUUCACGUGCUUGUAGCUUUCAAUAUUACUGCUCCCCCAUGUUCUAAAGUUCAAUUCCACCCGAGAAAAAGUACCCUUCAGUGUCGAGGGCCAUCUUUCUAAUUAGUCUGAUUUGAUUGGAAAUAAUUAGCACUUGGUUAAGCCAAUUAACACGGUCCAUGAUUUUCUUUAUUUUUUAUUUUUUUUUUGGUGGUCAAAAUGUUAAUCUAACCUACUCGUUCAUUAAUUUUUAUUUUUAUUUUAUCUUUGUAACCAUGGCCAGAGCCCAAAACAAUAAAGCAAGAUUAACUAAUAUAAUAAUAGCCAAAAGAGGCCCAGCAGAGGAAGACAAGUCGAAGGCCUUUGAGCCCAAUUCUAAACUUAAGCCCAGAAGCGAUGUUUUUUAAAACAAUCGAUAGUGGAGGAGGGGCGAAUUAAACCUAAGACCUCAAGUGCAUAUGUAAAUGUUUUUAACCGCUUGAACAACAAACCUUUUUGCAAGCUAGUCUCCGAAAAUGAAAGAGCUCAUAAUUUGGUUUGAAAAAAAAACACUAUUUUAUUAAAUUAAAGAGGCUUUUCCCCUUGACGCAGCACAAGCAACAAAGGUUUCAAGCGAAACCUUGAGUAACAAGAAAUCUGGAUUCCACCAGAAAAUUAAGAGGAAUUCUCUUGGGAUAAUUUUAUUAAAAUCUGAGGUUAUUAGAAACGUCAGACCAACCUGUCUAAAUACGCAACUCUCAAUCCUUGAACUGCUAGGGGAGUUAUUACAUUAAAACUGAAAAACAGAAUUAAUUCGGAGACUUAACUACGUAACUCCGAAACUGAAAAACAGAAUUUAUUAGGAUAAUUAACUACGAAACUUUGAAUGCAGUUUUGGAAGGCCAAACGACCUCAGAAUGCCAAAAUCCAUCGUACAUCACAGCAAAACUGUGAUUUAACUCGUGGCGUCGUUCCCUUUCCGAAAUGGUAUUUUGCGUCCUAAUCGGAGCUCGGACAACAAAUCUUCAAAUUCCUGCUACGUCCUUUUUCUAGCUCAACCGCGAUAAAAUCUGCCAUCUAUUCUACAUCACCCCUUUUUUGCGUGUCUAACAUGAGUGUUAGAAUGCAUUGCAAUCUGCAUAUUCUAGCUUUUCUGGCUAGUCUUUACUGUUUCGAGUUGUAAAAUGGGGGUCUUCCAAUUCCACAACUUUUUCAUCUACUUUUGUAAUGAACUUCCUCUCUAAUCAAGGACCAUGCGACAAAGAAGAGGAAAAGGGGAAAAGCCUUUUGUAAUUCAUUUUUAUUUUUGUUUUUAUUUCAUCAUUGUGGCAAAGAUGAAAGGCAAUAACACCAAAACAAGCUUAACUAAGAACAAACAUUAAACUUGAGUUUGAUGGUUUAUGUGGCAAUUUGAAAUAUAUAAUAGAGUUUUACAUUCUUCCCGGUAUGUCAAAUUAAAAUAUUAUUUUAUUAUACAAAAUUUAUAAUUUAUUACCUUCUAGGCAUGUUAAUUGAAAAUAAAUUAUUAUAUUAUAUUAUAUUGUUCAGCCCCUCCUCCUAUGACUUCCACCAAAUUUUAUAUUCCUCGUAUUAUAUUAUAAAUUGAAUUAUAUCAUACAUUUUUAUAAUAAAAAAUUAGUAAGUCUAAAACACAGCUUUUGUAUAAUGUAUGGUUAGUUUUUAACUUCUUUUUUCUCAUUAAUUAAUUAAUUUUUUUAUUGAUAUAUUUGUGAUGGGGCGGAGCGGGGACUGAAGGAGGGGAUGGGGACAGGAGUCCCCAUUUUGAAUAUUAUAGGUAUGUAGGCUGAGAUGGGGGAUGAAAUAUUAACAAGAAUGGGGAUGGUAACGACAGACUUUUCUCCGAUUCGCCCCAUUGUCAUUUCUAACUCUAUACAAAUAUAUAAUCGAUAAUAUGUUGACAUUAUUAUAAUUAAAAAAAGCAUUCCAACAUAUUAUCGAUAUAUUUUUGCGAAGAUGGAUAAAUAAAGACCCCACAUCCAGCGUUGAGAAUUUAUAAUCAACACAUUGAUAGUUUUCCGCAUCCAUUUUUUCAAUCAACUAAAUAAUAAACCUUUUUUUUUAAGAUAACAACACUAUGAUUUUGUAUUUUCUUAACUUGGAAUCAGCAUGUAUAUAUGAACACAUGAAUUGAUAAAUUUACCCACUAAAGCAUUUACAAUGGGUUUUUUAAACUACAUUUUAAGACAAAUUUUAGGGAGGAAUUGUAAAAAUACAACUCCAACCAUGCUCCCUAUCCACCUCUUAAAAUAGGGAGACCUCUAGAAGCUCCUAAAUAUGAGAAGAGAUAAAGGACUCCUAAUGGCUCCCUAUAAUUUAAUACUGUUUUAUUUAAUGAGUAUUUCAAACUUUUAUUUAAUACUAACUAUUUUUUAUUUUAUUUUAUAAUAGAGAUGGACCAAUCAAAAAAGAGUUAUAGUAUUUAUGACUCCCUAAACUAGAGAGUAUGAUUGAAGUUUAAAUUUUAUGGAGAGUUCCUAAAAUAACUUUUAUAUGUUUUUACCUAAAAUUUAACUAAAAAAUAGAGAGCAUGAUUGUAGAUGCUCUAAAAUGGGAUGCGUUUUGACUACUUUUUGGACCCUUACUAUACACUACACAAAAUCGUAUAUGCUAACCCUUCAAGACGUACUUUGAUUUUCAUCUAAGAGCAUCUCCAAGGGGAGAUGUCAAAUACAAAAUAUUAAAUUUGUAUUUGAUGGCCUAUGUGGCAAUUUGAUACUUUGAAAAAAAUUUAACCCCACUCGAAAUGUCAAAUAAUCUUGCAUGUCUUUAGGUUGGAAGUUGAGAGGUUUUUCUGUCUUUUUUGAAACAGCUUUGGCUUUUUCCAAAAGUGAAAGUUUUUUAAUAGCUAAAACUUAAAUGGACUUAUUAUUUUAUUAUAUUUUAAAAAGCAAAUGGGGCCUAUGAUGGACAAAUUUUAAAAAGUAGUAAAUGAUAGUGGAGUCCAUGACUAAAAAAAUAUUAAAAUAAUUUCUAGCCUUCAAAUUCAUGUAGGAUUUAACUACUCGGUUGAAGCAACUUUAACUUUCAAUUUUUGUCAUUUCAUGUCCACAUGACAAUUUAACACAUCGAUUGAAAAUACUUUAAGACAUUUAUAUUAUUUUAGUCCUCAGUAACAUUAACGACAUCUUGCAAGAAAUUUGUAGAACAAUUGAUUAAUGUAUUGAUAUACACACAGGCUAAUUACCUAGUACGGACAAUUUUCCCCAACUUCCAUGAACGUGCAUAUCAAUAAGAUUAAUUGGAUAAUGAAAGUAACAAAAGUCGUUAUCAUUGUCAUUGUUUUUGGCCGUUAUGUUGGCACAACAACAGUCGGUCGUCUUCGUCAAUUGGGCUUGGUGUUGCCGACACUGAAUGUGAAAGAAUGUCCAAGUGUGAUAAAUUUCAAACUCUUACUUUCCCAAUCCCACUAAAUGCCAACCAGAAAAUUCCUUCUUCCAUCAAAAGGACAUCUCCAUAUCAAGUAAACUUUUCUUUGUAUAUUAGGUGAAUAUCUUUCUUGACAUGGAAAAAAAUAAAGAAUGACAGGUCUUCAAAAUUUCGUAGAUUUCUAGUUUUAUCAUUUUAUUAUUAUUUAUGUAAAAGAAUAUAAAUUUUACAUCGAAAAUUUGACUACAUACAAUACAAUACACAACAUAUAAUAAAUGAUUCUACUACUAAUAUUACUAGGUCUUUGACAAUUACUGGAUUUUAUAGGUGAUUAAAUUAAAGGCAACAUCAGUAUUACUAUUAAUAAACUAUUUACCUGUAUUUAUGAAAUUCAACAUGAUAUCAUAACAAAUUGAUUGAUUUUAUUGUUGGGGCUGUUAAGAAGAAGCCGCAAAAAAAAAUAGUGAAAAGGAAAGAAGGGCGACCACAAAGGACUAAUUGGCCAAGAAAGUGCAUGGACUUCAAUAGACAACUUUGUUGUCCACCAUUAAAGAAAGAAAAAAUCAGCUUUUCCUUGAGGAAAUUACCCUGCAAGUCUACACAUUCUUUCUCCAUCUCCCUGACAGUUAAAGAAAGACGCUUUACAUAAUUAUAAAGAACGAAAACUUUACUUUCCAUCCUCGUAUGUGGAAAGUAGGUAAUAAUGUUCGCAUGUAAAUACUUAAGGAACGUAAGUCACACACCUUUUUUCCUUCUUAUUUGAGAGUGGUUUUGGAUAGGUCAAUAAUCACUUCUCUAUAUAAUUAUACUCAGAAUCACUUUAAAAUCACUAAAUGUAAUUAUAUGAAAAAGCGUGGCUUAUCCAAAAUCACUUCCAAACAAGCUUGUACACAGUAGGAAUUAUAAGCAUCAAGCAACUUAUAGAGUAGGAAUUUUAAGCAGAUCAUUAAUCUAAUAAUUCACAAGCCAUAUUGAUAAUCAAGAGUUAAUUUGUUUCAAUAUUACAUAAUAACAUACUUGCGAGCACACACACUACGUUUAAUAUACGGUAGCUUAAUAAAUUCCCGUUUAGAGCGGUGACAUGAAUCUCAGCAACAAAAAAUCCUCCUCAUCACUGACCUCCUCCUUGAUGGAAUUACAGUGGCAAUAGCAGUUGUGUUUGGUCUGGAGCUGCAUGGUUUAGUGUCGUUGUUGUCGACCAUUUCUUCAGUUCUGUGGCACUGGUCUUCUUCCCCAUCUGAGACUUUCAGGUUCAAUGCCUUCCCUGCACCUGAAUUUGCCAUUGCCACUAUUUCUCUUUUUUAUUAGAGAGAAGGUGUGUGUGUGUUUGUGCACUAGAGCUGCUAAUUGUGUGUUAACCCUUAAUAAACCUCCUCUUAGGAGAGUUUAAAGAAGAAGUUGAUUCUUAAGUAAGCCGUGACGCAUGCAACAAUGGUGAUUCUUAAGUAAGAAAUAGUGAUUAGUGAUAAUGGUUAAACUAAAGUAAAAGUAGUGAUGUUUAGGACUUGGCCAGUUGGUCUAGUCUUGGUACAUUGACUAACAGUCCACAUAAUUUGAUCGCUUUCGUAAUUAAUUUGCGUAAAAAUAAUUGACAAUGGAGAUAUUCUAAACUACCCCACACGAUUGUUUUGGAAUUUUCUCUCAUUAAUCCGACCAUUUCCGAUUUGGUAAUUCUCAUUAGAAGGUGGGACAGAAAAUAAAAUAUUGUUUGGUAUUUUACCAUGUGCUUUAUUACAUAUUCUCUCCCCAAUUCCUUCUGGAAGCUUUUGUGACAAAAAUUAAUGGGAAAUGGAUUGGUGUUACAUCAAACAGCCAACAUUUCAAUAGGGUUCCUCCUUGGAUCCCGGCCAACAUACAAAAAUUUGCUCCUUAAUUACCUGGGACUAAGCUUAGCUUGGCAGAUAGGAGAGUGGUGGGUGUCUGUAUCAUUUGCUUCGGCACCGUUUUUGGAGUAGUGGUGUGGACUUUAAGUUUGGAAUAGUACGGAUAUAUCAUGUCAACGUGUGAUAAUCCGCGCAAACAUUGCACAGUGAAUUCUAGCAUGGUUUUGUAACUUUCCCCUUUUUUUUCUAGGCAGGUGUUUGUCUCUUUGGCGGGAAAAUUUGGAGUCAGAUCAUGGCCAGCAGUGUUAAGAUUUUAUCUAGUUACAGCAGUUGUUUUUAAUUAAAUAAACUGAUUAUCCUAUUCUGUAGGAAGUCAUGUUGCAUGUUGUUAUGUUUACCAAGUCUUUAGGAGUCUCCCAGUAGUGGAGCAGUUUGUUAGUAGUGUCAGUAAUGGAUUAAGUUAGUAGGAGUCAUGUCCUUGAAUUUAAUAUAGUCUAGUGAUGUAACAUUCUAUUUAAGUUCAACCUUAUCAAUAUACAAAUAACGCUUUCCAGCACAUCUUCUCGCCAGUGUUUGGAUUUUGAGUUUAACUCUACAUCUGGUAUCAGAGCUCCCCACUGGGGCCUGACAUAAAAGUUCUCACAAAAGCAGUAAGCUAUUAUUGCACUUACGGCAGUAAGUUACUAUGGCGUCUGACAAGGUUACAGACAACUAUGUGCAGUCAGCCAUAGCACGCUUUGAUGGUCAUUAUGACCAUUGGAGCAUGUUGAUGGAGAAUUUUCUGAGGUCUAAAGAAUACUGGACUCUUGUGGAAACCGGUAUUGUAGACCCGAAAAGUAGAGUGGUGUUGACGGAGCUACAACAAAAGAAAUUGGAUGAAUCUAAGCUGAAAGAUCUGAAGGUGAAAAAUUACUUAUUCCAAGCUAUUGAUCGUUCCAUUUUGGAGACCAUUCUCCAAAAAGAUACUUCCAAGCAAAUUUGGGAUUCCAUGAAGAAGAAUUACUAGGGCUCAACAAAGGUGAAGCGUUCCAUUCUGCAAGCACUGAGGAAAGAUUUUGAGACUCUUCAGAUGAAACAAAGAGAGUCUGUCGAUGAUUAUUUUUCAAAAGUAAUGGCAAUUACAAAUAAGAUGAGUAUCCAUGGCGAGAAGAUAGAAGACGUGACCAUCGUAGAAAAGAUCCUGCGAUCUAUAACUACAAAGUUUGAUUACGUUGUGUGCUCCAUUAAGGAGUCCAAUGAUGUUGAGCAGCUUUCAAUUGACGAGUUGCAGAGUUCCUUGCUUGUCCAUGAGCAGAAGAUCAAUCGGAGUACAUCUGAGGAACAUGCCUUGAAAGUUUCAACAAAUAGCGAUUCUUCGGCAGCAAGAGGUCGUGGUGGUCGUGGACGAGGACGUGGUAGAGGUGGCAGCCAUGAAAGAGGUUGAGGUAGCAGAGAUGGGAACAAAUCCAAUGAUGAUUCCAGCAACAAAGACAUUUAUGAUUCCAGCAGCAGCAAUAGAGGCUAUAAUAAUUCUGAAGGUAACAGCAGCAGAGGCCAAAGGCAGCCAUACAAUCAUGAUUCGAAUGUCGAUAAAUCAAAUGUCGAGUGUUUCAGGUGUGGCAAUUAUAGUCAUUACAGAUCUGAAUGUUACACAAAUAUGAAUAAAGCAAAGGGUGCAAGGGCCAAUUUUGUAGAGAAAGAGAAAGAAGAUGAUGAGGCUAUUCUAAUGGUGUGUCAAACCAUGGAAAAACCACAAAAGAAUGUGUGGUACUUAGAUACAGGUUGCAGUAAUCACAUGUGUGGAGAAGAGUCAAUUUUUUCUACAUUAGAUGAAAGUUUCACAACUACAGUGAGAUUUGGAGAUGACAGCAAAGUUUCCGUUUUGGGAAAAGGAGAUAUCAAAAUUUGGGCUAAAGAUAACAUUGUCCAUACUAUCUCUAGUGUUUUCUUUGUUCCGAGUUUGAAUAGCAAUUUGCUGAGCUUGGGACAACUGCAUGAAAAGGGAUAUGAGAUCAAGAUUACAGGAGGAGCUUGUCAAAUUCAUGAUCAAAAAAGGGGCCUAAUUGCUAAGGCUUACAUGACGACAAAUCGAAUGUUUCCAUUACAUAUUCAAAGUGAUGGUCCUACAUGUUUCUCUGCCAAAGUCAAUGAUCCAGCGUGGCUGUGGCAUUUACGCUAUGGUCAUCUGAAUUUUAGAGGUUUAAAGACGCUACAUGAUAAGGAGAUGGUGACUGGCCUUCCUCAGAUAACCUGUCUAACUGAAGUUUGUGAAGUUUGUGUUGUUGGAAAACAACGUAGGGAAACCUUUUCGAAGGGAAAAGCAUGGCGGGCUAGAAGACCUCUUGAGCUGGUCAAUUCAGAUAUUUGUGGGCCAAUAACUCCAGCUUCAAAUGCCGAAAAAAAGGUACUUUAUAACGUACAUUGAUGAUUACAGCAGGAAAACAUGGGUUUAUUUCUUACAGGAGAAAUCAGAAGCCUUAAAUGCUUUCAAACACUUAAAGGCGGCUGCUGAGAAUGAGAUAGAGAAGACGAUCAAGGUUCUUCGAACUGAUCGUGGUGGAGAAUACAAUUCAAAAGCCUUUGAAAAUUUUUGUGCUAUACAUGGCGUUCGCCGACAGCUUACGGCAGUUUACACACCACAGCAGAAUGGUGUGGAGGAGAGGAAGGAUCGUACCAUAUUAAAUAUGGUAUGCAGUAUGCAAACAAAAAGUUCCAUUCCAAAGAGUUUAUGGCCGGAAGCUAUAAACUGGAGCAUUCACAUACUGAACAGAAGUCCAACUUUUGAUGUUCGUGAUUUGACACCUGAAGAGGCAUGGAGCGGCCGUAAACCAACAAUUGGUUACUUCAAAGUUUUUGGUUGCAUUGCAUAUGCACGUAUUCCAGACGAGAAAAGGAAGAAGCUUGAUGACAAAGAUGAAAAAUAUGUCUUUCUUGGCAUAAGUGAAGUUUCCAAGGCGUAUAAGUUAUUCAAUCCUGUGUCCAAAAAGAUUAUUAUUAGCCGAGAUGUUAUAUUUGAUGAAGAAAAGACAUGGAAUUGGAAUGAUGAUGUUCCUCAGCAGCAACAGCAGAACAUUCCAGUUAAUUUUGAUGACAACGUGGAACAGCAGCAGCCACAACAGUGUAUUCCGGCACCAACUUCUUCAGUUGUUCCAGCACCAGUUGUUCCGCCAAUUGGAGCUCAGGUUGCAAGUUCAUCUAGUGCACGACCUCAACGUUUAAGGAAGCGGCCUGCAUGGAUGAUAGAUUCUGAAUGGGUGUUUGAUUCCGUUAGUGGAAGUGAAGGAAGUGAUGAUGAUCCAUUUGUUCACUUUGCUUUGUUUGCAGAUUCUGAUCCUGUGUCAUUUUCUGAUGCCGUAAGAGAACCAAAGUGGCAGAAAGUCAUGGAUGAGGAAAUCAAAUCUAUUGGGAAGAACAAUACUUGGGAGUUGACAAAGCUUCCACAAGGCACAAGACGAUUGGUGUCAAAUGGGUCUUUAAGACAAAGCUGAAUGAGAAGGGUGAGAUUCAUAAGCACAAAGCACGCUUGGUGGCGAAAGGUUACAAGCAAGAGUAUAGCGUUGAUUACACAGAAGUGUUUGUGCCAGUGGCAAGGCAUGACACAAUUCGAAUGGUGAUUUCAGUGGUGGCACAAAACUCAUGGCCUAUCUUCCAACUGGAUGUGAAGUCUGCAUUUUGACAUGGGGAAUUGCAAGAACAUGUUUAUGUUGAGCAGCCAGUAGGUUAUGUUCAGCCAGGGAAGGAAAGACAAGUUUACAGGCUUAAAAAAGCUUUAUAUGGGCUGAAGCAAACUCCCAGAGCUUGGUACAGCCGCAUAGAGGCAUAUUUUGCAAGAGAAGGAUUUCAAAAAUGUCCAUAUGAGCAUACACUCUUUACAAAAUCUGGAGAGGAAGGGCAGAUACUCAUCGUGUGCUUGUAUGUGGACGAUCUGAUCUAUACAGGUAAUGAUGUGGCCAUGUUUAAUGAUUUUAAGAAAUCCAUGAUGCAUGAGUUUGAUAUGUCUGAUCUUGGAUUGAUGCACUAUUUUCUUGGUAUAGAAGUAGUACAAUCUAGUGCCGGAAUAUUUAUUUCACAGAAGAAAUAUGUUUAAAAGAUCUUAGACAUGUUUGAGAUGAAGGAUUGCAAUUCAGUUUGUACGCCAACUGAAAUUGGCUUGAAACUAGUGAAGACUUCUGGGGAGAAGAAGGUUGAUCAAACUCUCUACAAACAGAUUGUAGGAAGUCUGAUGUAUUUGACCGCACCUAGGCCAUACAUACAACAUGCAGUGAGUCUCUGUAGCAAAUAUAUGGAGUGUCCGGAAGUGCCUCAUUUGGCGGCAGCAAAAAGAAUUUUUCGUUACCUAAAGGGCACAAUUGAUUUUGGAAUAUUAUACAAGAAAUGAGCUAAAUCAGGUUUGUUUGGCUUCACUGAUAGUGACUAUGUAGGAGACCCAGAUGAUAGGAGAAGCACCUCAAGUUAUGCAUUUAUAAUGGGAGCAUGAGCUAUUUCAUGGUCGUCCAAAAAACAACAGAUUAUCACUCUGUCAACCAAUGAAGCUGAGUUUAUUGCAGCAGCAGCUUGCGGCUGUCAAGCUAUUUGAUUGAGUAGGAUACUUGAAGAAUUACGUGGUUUGCAAGACGGUCCAACUCCUGUCUAUUGUGAUAACAAUUCAACAAUCAAGUUGUCCAAGAAUCCAGUUUUACAUGGCAGAAGCAAACACAUUGAUGUUCGCUACCAUUUCCUGCGCGACCUCACAAAGGAUGGAACAAUUGAUUUAAUCUACUGCAGAAGUGAAGAUCAGGUAGCUGAUAUUCUAACCAGGCCUCUCAAAUUACUGGCGUUCUCGAAGCUAAGGAGAUUGUUAGGAGUUUGCUCUGUGAAGGAUAUUGCUUGAAGUCAGAAGCUAUAGUGCGAAGGUUUCUCUCUAAACUGAUUGUUCAAGGAAUAUUUAGUUUAAGGGAUGGUGUUAAGAUUUUAUCUAGUUACAGCAGUUGUUUUUAAUUAAAUAAACUGAUUAUCCUAUUCUGUAGGAAGUCAUGUUGCACGUUGUUAUGUUUACCAAGUCUUUAGGAGUCUCCCAGUAGUGGAGCAGUUUGUUAGUAGUGUCAGUAAUGGAUUAAGUUAGAAGGAGUUAUGUCCUUGAAUUUAGCAUAGUCUGGUGAUGUAACGUUCUAUUUAAGUUCAAACUUAUCAAUAUACAAAUAACGCUUUCCAGCACCUCUUCUCACCAGUGUUUGGAUUUUGAGUUUAACUCUACAAGCAGUGCUCUCUCUGUUUUAUUCAUUUGAUUUUUUAUUCUCUCUGUUUUAGCUUACCUAUUUUCACAUCGUAUACCAACUUCAAAAGCGUAUGUUUGUUUUGGGUUGGUCCAAGAAAACGCAACCCACAAACCCCACACAUUCACAUCGACACAAAACUUCGCUUUUCAAGCUUAAGGUUUAUCUUAAUUUCAUUGGGGAAAAUGGGGGUUACUGUGAAACUCCGGAUUAAUUAUAUGUCUACUUGAAUCAAAUGAAGAAAGCAGAGAGAGAGAGAUAGAUGAAGAUUGAGAUGAAACAAAACCCAUCAGUCUAAGAAAACCAGGAAAAUUUUACAUCAACUCCACGAAAAUAGCAGAAAACAGAAAAACAAUCACAACCCUGAACUAAAAAGAAUAAAACACCAGCUAUGGUGGUGAGCUUGGGUAAACUUGGUUGCUGAUGAUGAUGACCUUGUUGGCGUUUGAAGCAGAAGCUGAAGAAGGCCUAUUAGUAGUGUUGUCUGAAACUGAAACAGAGCAAAAGCAUUUGCACAAUUUGAUCAAACAUCAUCCUCUUCACUAACCUCUUCUUCACCGGGAACACACUUCCAGCUUUUGGUUUGAACAACCAUGGCUCAGCCUUGCUUUGAUCUUGAGAUGAACUCAACUUCAGCUUCAUGGGCUCCUUUGGGUGGUGGUGCUCUGUUUUGGGGCAGAGGAGGUCUUCUUCCCCAUCUGGCUUCAAGUUGUUCCACGCCCUCUCUGCUUCUGAUGAAGUUUUCUUCAUUGCCAUGCCUGUAAUCUCUCUGUCUGUCUGAUUGUGGGCUUCCUUCUGGUUCGGUGUGUUUAUGAAAGCCGUCCACGAGUUUAAUUUAUAGACAAGAAAAAAUUGUUUCCUUUUCCAUUGUAGGCCCUACUAAAGAAGGACCAUUAUUUUUUACCCAACAAAAACAGAAAAAAGGAAUGACUUCUCCUAAUUUGUUCUCUUAUAGUCUUGGACACUUGAAGACAGAAAUAAAUUUGGAAAAAGACAAUCCACUCGUACGAUAAAUUUAACAUCCUGAGUCUGUCCUUAAGUGUAGCAAAGUCAGAAAUUAAUUUAUUCUUAAAUUGAUAAUCAGUCUCAGAGAGCAACCUACUUGGACGAGUUCGGAUAUUCACACCAAGAACAGCAGUCAUGUCAUAUAUAGGUGCCCACUAAAAUACAAGGUGCCCAAGAAAUAAUUCUGCGUUUCCAUUCCAUGAGCUUGCUUGGACGCUGCCUACUAAAAUACAAAGGUGCCCAAAAAAUGGCUUUUACAUGACGAUAUUUUCUUCACGUGCUUUUAGCUUUCAAUAUUAUUGCUCCCCCUUUUUUUUUAACAGUUCAAAUUCCACCCGAGAAAAAGGUGCCCCUUCUGUGUCGAGUGUCAUCUUUCUAACGAGUCUGAUUUGAUUGGAAUAAUUAGCACUUGGUUAAGCCAAUCAACACGGGCCAUGAUUUUCUUUAUUUUUUUACCAUCAUUUUUUUUGUUGUCAAAAUGUUAAUCUAACCAAGUGUUAAUUGGCUUAGCCAGUUCAUUGUUUUUUAUUUUUAUUUUAUCUUUGUAACUAUGGCCAGAGCCCAAAACAAUUAAGCAAGCUUAACUAAUAUAAUAAUAGCCUAAAGAGGCCCAGCAGAGGGAGACAGGUCGCAGGCCUUUGAGCCCAAUUUCUAAACUUAAGCCCAGAAGCGAUGUUUUUUUAACACAGUCGAUGGUGGAGGAGGGGCGAAUCAAACCUAAGACCUCAAGUACAUGUGUGGCUAGUCUUACUGUUUCAAGUUGUAAAAUGGGGGUCUUCCGAUUCCACAACUUUUGUAAUGAACUUCCUCUCUAAUCAAGGACCAUGCGACAAAGAAGAGGAAAAGGCAUUUCACUUAUGGAAAAAAUAAAACUGUAAUGACCUGAAAAUGGCAGAUAUUAUUUGUGGUGUUGCAUCUAUAUAUAUAAAGCAAAAGGUAGAGAAUGGUGAAACAUUCAAAAUACCAGAAAAUGUCCUUUGUUAAUUCAAACAUUAAGAAUUGAAAUUAUUAAUUAAAUGAGGAUAAUAUGGUAAAUUCAUAUUUUUUAAUAUUAAAAAAAUUAAAAUUAAAAACAAAAUAAGAUAAUAGGUCCUACUUUUAUGGAACAUAACUACCCUGUUAUCUUUUAUUAAUUCUAAAAAUAAAAUAAAAAAGAAAAAGAAAAUCAAUUGGCACAUACGUGAGCAUGUGUCAAGGGGCUAGUAUUGAAUAAUAGAUGAAUUAGCUUAGCCUGGUUUUCUAAUUUUCCACUUUCUAAGUUACAACUCAAUUCAUUUUUGUUUUUGUUUUUAUUUCAUCAUUGUGGCAAAGGUCAAAGGCAAUAACACCAAAGCAAGCUUAACUAAGAAUAGCCUGGUACCUGGUAGAAGGAGACGGGUCAAAGGCCUCUGAGCACAACUCCAAACUUAAUAGCUAAGGACCACACCAAACUAAAUUAAGCUUUUUUUUUCUUCUUCUUUAUACAAGUGAUUGGGGAAUUGAGGUUUACACAAAUAUUUAUUGGGUGUCUAAGAAUUUAAACCUCAGCUCAUAUGGGAGUGAAAGCAAUGGUGGAACUAUAAAUUUUUUGGUGUGUACUAAAAUUAUUAAUUUUUUUUGUAUGGGAGAUCUAUAUAAACAAUGAGAACUAAUUUAUUAUUAUUAUUUUUUGGUAUGCUAAUUGAUACAGUGAGAACCAAGUGGGAAUCAAAAACUGAAAUUGUGGAAGUAGAAGCACGAACAAAAUUGUACAAUUCAUAGCAGUAGCAUAUCCAAAAAAAUUUAAACAGAGGCAUAAACACUAAAGCUUUGUUGCACUUGUAGCAGGCAUGUUUACGUAUCACUAAUGGAGAAAGUAAAGAAUAAGAGAAUUUAGGAAUCAGGGAGUAUUGAAUCGGUAUGGAAAGAAUCAUUCCCAUUAAGCAGUUUACUAAACAUAUGAAAUUAGCAAAGGAAUGAGGUUGAUUCUCAUUGUUAUUGUUUACUAAUUUUUAUGAAUCAGAAUCCAAAUUAAUUUGAUUACUAAAAUGCCCUGCACAUUUUCACCACAUCACAUAUAAUUCUCAAAUUGGCUAAGGAUACCAAACUAAUCCUACAGCAAACUAGUAAGAUGGUGUAAACAGGAGGAAUCAAUAUGUUAAACAAGAUGAACAUCAAGAGCCUAAUUCAAUGAUAAUUUUAAUAACACCUUUGUCCAGAGCCAAUUUCAAACAAAAAAAUAAACUCCAAUAACACCUUGGAGCGUCUUUGAACUUCUUAGUGUGAGUUUUUUUUUUUUUUUAAGGGUUUGGGGUGUUUUGGAAUUAUGGUAAAAUGGUAAGGGUAUUUUUGGAAGUUAAUAAGGGAAAACAUGAAUGAGAAUCGUAUCAACUACCUCCCUCUAGUUGAUCUGAUACCUAAUUUUGAGGGGAUGUGAUUACGGAUUUUGAGGUACGGCCCACUUAUUUUUUCAUUCCUGAUUGCAAGUAAACGCAGGGGAAGUCAGGAAUGGAAAUCAUUCUCUUUCCUUCCAUACCCAUUACUGAUACGUAAACAUGCCAUGGAUGUGAACUUGCAAAUCAGAAGAAGAAGAAAAGAGAAGAAAACAAUGGUUUCCUACUCACGUGGUCUCCAAACCACAAAGUAAUUAAAAAAAAAACAAGUUAUACAUAUAUACACACUAGCCCCUUGGCACAUGCUCACGUAUGUGCCAAUUGGUUUUAUUUUUUAUUUUUUAUUUUAUUUUUAGAAUUAAGAAAAUAUAAUAUGGGUAGUUAUAUUACAUAAAAGUAUGACAUAUUAUCUGAUUUUGUUUUUAAUUUUAAUUUUUUUAAUAUGAAAAAAAAUGUGAAUUUACCAUAUUAUCCUCAUUUAAUUAAUAAUUUUAAUUCUUAAUGUUUGAAUUAACCAAUGCCAUUUUCUGGUAUUUUGAAUGUUUCAUCAUUCUCUGUCUUUUGCUUUAUAUAUACUAGUCUCCCUGCACACACGCUUCUGUGCUUGCGAGAGGUUUUUUAUAUAAAAAAAGCCUAAAUUUAUUUUAGAAUCAAAAAGAUAAUGGGUAGUUGUGUUUCAUAAAAAUAUGAUUCAUUAUCUUCUUUUUUUUUCUUUUUUUUAAUAUGAAAAAGUGUGAAUUUACCAUAUUAUCCUCAUUUAAUUAAUAAUUUUAAUUCCUAAUGUUUGGAUUAAAUAAGGGCAUUUUCUGGUAUUUUAAAUGUUUCAUCAUUCUCAGCCUUUAGCUUUAUAUAUACUAGCCUCUCUGCACGCGCUUACGCGCUUGCGAGAGGUUUUUUUAAAAAAAUAAGUAAAUUUAUUUUAGAAUUAAAAAAGAUAAUGGGUAGUUGUGUUCCAUAAAAAUAGAACCAUUAUCUGCUUUUUCUUUUUCUUUUAAUUUUUUAAAUAUGAAAAAGUGUGAAUUUACCAUAUUAUCCUCAUUUAAUUAAUAAUUUGAAUUCUUAAUGUUUGCAUUAACUAAGGGCAUUUUCUGGUAUUUUGAAUGUUUCAUCAUUCUCUGCCUUUUGCUUUAUAUAUAUAGAUAUAUGUAUAUAUAUAUAUAUUCAUGGGAGAAGGAAAUACCUUAUAAAUUAGCACCAAAUCACUGUUUUAUCAAAUCUUACACCAAGCUGAAGCCCAAUCCAGUCUACACGCAGUUUCACACUUGGAUAGUAUAACCCAAUCAACUGAGCUAUAUCCCAUUGGCCAAAUUAAAUUAAGCUUAGUCUCACGUACUUAAAGAGCUCAUAAUUCUGUUUUACAGAAAAUAGAAUUUUAUUAAAUUGGCCUUUUCCCUUCUCCCUCUCUAACAUGAAUUAAUGAUGAUGAUGAUUUUAUAAUUUUCACUUUACAUCUUGAUGUCAGGUAUUUAUUGAAUUCAAUUCAAUUUGUUGUGUUAUGAUUAAUUGCAUUCAAAUUAAUCAGAAUGAUAUUAUCAUGUGGUAUUAUCAAUUUAUAUAUCGUAGCAUGAAGUUAUUAAUUUACGUAUUAUUAUAUCACGUGAAAAAUUACUCCAAAUAAGGUCAGCUUGAUACCUUUCUCACAUAUAUAUAAUGUCAAUCAAUAGACUGAAAUAGGAGAGGUAUUAUUUCUAAUUCAUUUGAUUCUUUGUUGGGUUUCUAUGUAAGUGUAAUGAAUGAAAGGCUGAGAACUAGCAUUAUAGGCCUAAUAGCUAGUCAUGACUUUUGAUUAAAAUCCAUGUUGUACAAGUUUUUUGAGAAGAAAAAGGCAAAAGGGCAAGAUAUUAGAGCCUUUCCACCCAUGAUGCGGGAUGAACUGGCAAGACUUUUCAUCAUAACUAUUGGCAAGCAGCUGUUAGCCUAUGCCAAAGAUAAGAUUACCAUUUAAUUAAACGCCUCAUUAAUUUGUUUCACCAACCAUCUACCCUUUUUUUUUUGAAAAAAUGAAAGGAAAAAAAUUAUGGAAAAUUACUAAAAAAUUUAGAAUUUUUUUUAUACAUACCUACCAAUUUUUUAUUUAUUAAUUUCAUAUAUAUAAAUAAAAUUAGUAGUUACCCUUGAGUUGCCAUGGCAAUGGGUGGAAGAACAAUAAAAUAAAAAAUUAUUAUGACAGAUACUAUUCGCGUAAAUAGUAACCGCUCUUAUUUGUCCUUGUCAUUUAUCAUGACAAAUGGGUGGAAAUGCUCUUUGAAAUGGCACAUGGAAUUUCUGUUCAUAUAUAACCCACAUGCUAGUACAAAUGUCAAUUGAUCUUAUUGAUUAGGGUUAGGUUAUCCUCUUUAUAGAAACUCAGAGGCCAUCCUGCUUUGUUAAUCUUUGUUUAAAUGUGAUUGAUAUAUAAAUCUUUCUACCGAUUGGGUAUUUUCCAAUUUGGAAGCUUCAAGCUAGGUUAUGCGACAAGGUUGAAUAUAAAAUAUAUCCAAAUGCACCAUAACUUAUCGUUUUUUCCUCCAAAUCAGCAAAUCAAAGAGAUGGCCACAUGAUGAACACAAAGUCAAAUUAUAAUACGUACCCAGUUGGGGGGCUAUAUAUGCAAAAGUUUUGAUUUUGAUUUUUGAUUUGAAAAGAAAAAAGGAUGAGAGCUUGUAAUAUACACCAAAACACAAGAAGACGUACGUCUUUGUUCUAAACUUUCAUUUUUGAAGUUUUUAAUAUUCAAAAGCAUAUGCGACUUCGUAAUUUAUAAUUUAUAGCCAUAUAUAGCACAAUUAGAAUCUUAAAGAUUAAUUUUCCCAAAGGCCUUACAAUUUUAUAAUUAAGUUGGUUUUUCUUUUUUGUCACACGAUCUCAACCUGGUUACAAGGACGGAUUCAGGAUUUCAAAUUGAGGUGGGCUAAAUUUACCUUACGCACAUAACUAUUAAACUUGACAGUACAAAGUGAAGUUCAUUGAUAACAAAAGGCUACAACUAAUCAUAAUCAUAAUGACAUAAUGAAUUUUACUCCCCAAAAAGCAUCUAGUACAUAAUUCUUUUAUAUUUUCUACGUGCGGGGUAUGUGAAGUGAAGGGUGGGUUAUUUUUUACCAAACAAGAAAAUAAGAGGGGUUGUUUUCUACCAAAAAAUUAAAAGAAGCAGGGUUUUUUGUAUUGGCCUUUGGCCCCUUAUGUACCAAAAGGAAAAUGAGAGAAAAAAAGUAAGGGGGAUUAUGAGAGAGCAGUGCAGGGCUAUAGCACAUGUUAGUCAAAGAGUAGGUCGGUACCUGCCUGGUUAUGUUCUUUAACAUUUUGAUUUAUGCAUGGCAUGUUACGUCAAGCCUUGACGUAAAGUUGAAGCUUAAUUCCGCACGCAAUUUGACUCUCCUUAUAAUAAUUUCAUAUUUUAGUAGGGCAUGCAUGCAUGCAGCAGAUUAGGGUGGACCCUGAAGACAUCAUUUCUAGAUAAAUGAAGUUGGACCAAAAAGAACCUGGAAAUAAUGAGGUUAUAAAAAUAAAAAUGAAGUUAUGCAUUGUAUGAAAGCCAUGAUAAAAUUACAUCAACGUCACCAGGAAGGAAAUUAGCAGAAACAGAAAUACAAUUGCAUGCCUGUAGGCUGUGUGUGUACUGGAAACAAUAAAUUUACAUCAGCUCCUAUAUCUAUUCUAUGGCGGUGGGCUUGGAUAAACGUGGUUGCUCAUGAUCUUGUUGGCGUUUGAAGCAGAAACUGAAGAAGGCCUAUUAGUAACAUUGUCUGAAACUGAAGCAAGAGCAAAACCAAUGGACAAUUUGAUCAAACAUCAUCCUCUUCACUAACCUCUUCUUUGCCGGGAAGACACAGCCAGCUUUUGGUUUGAACAACCUUUGCUCAUCCUUGGUUUGAUCUUCAGAUGGGCUCAACUUCAGCUCCUUUGGGUGGUGCUCUCUUUUGGGGCAGAGGGGAUCUUCUUCCCCAUCUGGAUUCAAGUGCUUUAACGCCUUCUCUGCAUCUGAACUUUUCUUCAUUGACAUCUCUCUCUCUCUCUCUCUCUCUCUCUCUCUCUCUCUCUCUCUGUGCCAAACAACCCUCUCUCUCCUCCUUUUGCACCAGGGUAAAAAUGAAUGCAAAUGUAGCCUUCUUUUAAUAUUUGCCGAAGAUGUUGUGAUAUGAUUAAUUGUGUUCAAAUUAAUCAAAAUAACACCGUCAUGUGAUAUUAUCAAUUUAUAUGUUGUAGUAUGAAGUUAUUAAUUCAUGUAUUAUUACUUCACGGAAAAAAUUACUCCAAAUAAGGCCAGCUAGCCUUUCUCACAUAUAUAAUGUGUAUCAAUAGACUGGAAUAGGAGAGGUAUUAUCUCUAAUUCAUUUGAUUUUUUGUUGGGUUUCUAUGUAAGUGUAAUGAAUGAGAGGCUUAGAGCUAGCAUUAUAGGCCUAAUAGCUAGUCAUGACUUUUGAUCAAAAUCCAUUUUGUACAAGUUUUUUGAGAAGAAGAAAGCGAAAGGGCAAGAUUUUACAGCCUUUCCACUCAUGAUGCGGGGUGAACUGGCAAGACUUUUCCUCAUAAUUAUUGGCAAGCAGCUGUAAGCCAAUGCCAAAGAUAAGAUUACCAUUUAAUUAAACGCCUCAUUAAUUUGUUUCACUGUGAAAAAACCCCUCCACUAAGGAAUUCUAGCCCGGAUUGGACGUGGGCUCCAUCAAGGUUGGGUAGUGUUCGAAGGCAAGAUAAGCCCGACCUGGUGCAUGAAGACGUUAACAUCAAUAUUGACGUCAGGGAAGAAAUAAAUUGGAAAAAAAUUCUGAAAAGUUACUAAAAGGUUCAGAAUUUUUUUUAUACAUACCUACCAUUUUUUUAUUUAUUCAUCUCAUAUAAAUAGUAAUUUCCCUUGGAUUGCUAUAGCAAUAGUGGGAAAGCAAAAAAAAAAAAAAGAAAAAAAAAAGAAAAAAAAGCUAUAACAAACACUAUUCACAUAAACAGUAACCGCGCUUGCUUACUUUUGUGACAGGACCCGCCUCAGAAUUUUCCGGAAAUCAGAGCGAAUAUCGUCUUAAAUCUGACAUCACCCCGAUGCGGGCCCACUUACUAAAAACUCGAGACUUUCUACCAACAAUUUGGCAGUCUUCCCUGUAAAAUGAACAAUUCCCAAAUUUUCAACCUGCUCAAAAUUCACAAUUUAACAUAUCCAACCGGCAGCAUGCUUUAAAGUGAAUAAACAGUUUACAACAAAGGCCUCCGGCCUCACAAAUCAAACCCUAACAGGGGCGAUAAUAGAGCAUGUCUAAGAAUUUCAAUUUCAACUUAACAGAGUUCAACUGGAAUAAAAUGAUGAAAGAGUUCCUACGAAGGCUCAAGACUCGGCUCGGCUGCGGAGCUCAAUCAACUAAUAGCUGGGGGGCGCAUAACAGAAAAUUGUGAGUGGACAAAAAUAAAGUUCAUUCAGUGUAAACCAACAUAGUAUAACGCCGCCGUUAGAAAACCAUGCAAGAAAAUCCAAAUGCAUCCCAAAACAUCAUAAUCAAGUAUAUAUAUAUAUAAUCAAAUCAGAACCGGAUACCAAGUCCGAAAUCCAUAAAGAACGCUUUACAAACCCACCAUCCAAAACUUAUAAAUCCUACAACUAAACUCUUGAAAGCGUACCCAUUGGCACGAUCGGCAAAGAAGUAUCCUUACCGAGAAACAAGAACGAAUGAAUAGCUAUAUAUAUAAUUAUAAUUAUAUAAAAACUUAGAGCACUUCCACCCAUUUGUCAUGGCAAAGGGCAAGGGGAGGCAAUGGUUGUUACUAUUCACAUGAAUAGUGGCAGCCUUGGCAUAAGCUCGUUGUGCUUCCACCCAUUGCCAUGGCAACCCAAGGACAACCACUAUUCACAUGAAAUAUGAGGAGAUGAAUUUGUAUAGAGUUUUGGUGUGAGAAGUAAAGAAUAUGGCUAGGUAUUUAUGUAUAAAUUUUUUUUUAUUUUUUGGGUAUUUUUUUUCAAUUUUUUUGUUAUUUAAAUUGGUUGCUGGUGUCAUUAUGAUGUCAGCAUUACAUCACUUACCCAGGCAAGAGCACGGGGUGAUUCUACUUGAGGCCUUGCCCAGGUUGGUGGUCCCCAAACUUGCCUAGGCUUGCCUUUGGCACUGGAACUGUCUUUGUGGGCUAGGCCCUGUCCUACCUCGGCGAAAGGCCUUCCGCUGGAAGUGCCUGAGCGAAAGGCCUUUUGCUGGAAGUGCCCUUAAAGGCCACUAGCGGAACUAGGUAGAGGGCUACCAUGGGCUCUAGCCCAAGUAGCCUAUUUUUAAAAUUAAAAAAUAUUACAUUUAUUUUAAUGUUAUUCACCCCAUAAAAGCUUAGUAGCCCAGUCAAAUGUAGCCUCGUAACCAUUGUUCACUCAACUUUAUAGGCCUAUAAUCAUCUUAUAUUUAAUUUAUUUGCUCAAUUAAGAAACAUAAUCUCUUAAUAAAUACUCAUGAUUUUAACUCUCCACCUUUUACUAUUUUAUUCCGAUUUAUACUUUUAUUUCUAGAAAAAACUUUAGAAACAUGAAGUACCCAAAAAAAAAAUGGUCAUUAGAUUUUAAGCUAAUAACUUUAGCUAACCCACCCAUUAAAAAUUUCCUGAUUCCGCCCUUGUUAGAGGGCCUUCCUACUUUGUUAACCUUUGUUUAAAUGUGAUUGAUAUAUAAACUUUGUUUAGGGUAUUUUCCAAUUUGGAAGCGUCGAGCUAGGUUAUGUGACAAGGUUGAAUAUAAAAUGUAUCAAAAUGCACCAUAACUUAUCGUUUUUUCCUCCAAAACAGCAAAUCAAAGAGAUGGCCACAUGAUGAACACAAAGUCAAAUUAUAAUACGUACCCAGUUGGGGGCCUUUAUAUGCAAAAGUUUUGAUUUUGUCACACGAUCUAGUCCUGGUUAUGUUGUUUAACAUUUUGAUUUAUGCAUGGCAUGUUACGUCAAGUUAAAGCUUGAUUCGGCCCGCAAUUUGACUCUCUCCUAAUAAUUUCAUAUUUUCUUCCAACGACUUAAUUUAAUAUUUGAUAAUUGAGGGUGCGGACAGGGAAAUAAUGAAGUUAUAAAAAAAAUAAAAAAAGAGAUUCCUAGUCACUCAUUGGUGGUCUAUAGUAAUAUGGGAUCUCGAAUAAUAUCAUGCAUGGUCAUGGAAUUGGUGGCAGGAAGAUUGGAUGAUAUCAUGCAUGGUCAUGGAUGGAAAGUCAUGGUUUUGUUUUCAAUAACAUAUGUGGCUUUGAAGUCUUUACUUUUUCAUAAACUUCCUUGGCUAUUCCUCUAAUCAAGGACCAUGUUAAUUGUGUUUUAUUCAUUUUGAUGGUGGCCCAAAUUUACUUGAACUUUCUAGCUUAUUUAGCUUACCAAUGUUACAUAUCACAUCAACUUUAAUAAAAGCCGAGAGAGAGAGAGAGAGAGAGAGAGAGAGAGAGAGAGAGAGAGAGAGAGAUCAAAGAAAACCCAGCAUUCUAUGAAAGCCAUGAUAAAAUUACGUCAACGUCACCAGGAAGGAAAUUAGCAGAAACAGAAAUACAAUUGCAUGCCUGCAGCCUGUAUGUACUGAAUACAAUAAAUUUACAUCAGCUCCUAUAUCUAUUCUAUGGCGGUGGGCUUGGAUAAACGUGGUUGCUCAUGACCUUGUUGGCGUUUGAAGCAGAAGCUGAAGAAGGCCUAUUAGUAAUAUUAUCUGAAACAAUACCAAAACCAAUGGACAAUUUGAUCAAACAUCAUCCUCUUCACUAACCUCUUCUUUGCCGGGAAGACACUGCCAGCUUUUGGUUUGAACAACCUUUGCUCAUCCUUGGUUUGAUCUUCAGAUGGGCUCAACUUCAGCUCCUUUGGGUGGUGGUGCUCUGUUUUGGGGCAGAGGGGGUCUUCUUCCCCAUCUGGAUUCAAGUGCUUCAACGUCUUCUCUGCAUCUGAACUUUUCUUCAUUGCCAUCUCUCUCUCUCUCUCUCUCUCUCUCAGUAUGUGCUUCCUUCUGUGUUGUGUUUAGGAUGAUUGAGGACGAGUUUAAAUAGAUGAGAAAUGUUUGACCAGCAUUUUAAUAUAAUAUUAUGAUUGAUUGUUUAAUCAAAAUUUCUUUUUUGACGAAAAAGUCCUUCAUAAAAAAUGGAUUAGGUCUUUCAUAUUCAACCCAAUCUCGUCCCUCCUUACUCUUUCCCCCCGUUUUCUUUCAUUCGCAACCAACCCAAACUGCACUGCACUGCAAUGGAACUCCAACCACAGACAAAUUGAACAAAUAUAAGUAAACGAAGAAGGGUACGAACGACCACAGUUUUCUAUCUCUGAUCGAUUAUUAUUUUUGUUGCUGAAAAUAAUGGUUUCGUAUUUUUUUUUUCCUGGUAUAAAAGAUGGAUUUAGGCUAUGGGUCACGAUUUAUGGCUGAAAAUUUCUUACAUCUGUGUUGGAUGAUCUUCCUAUUUUAUUGUAUUAAUUUUGUUCUUCCUUUUUGUCUACUCUUUUUGUUUUUGUUUUGUUUUUUUUUUUUGUUUUUGUCAAUUGUUUUCUAUUUAUUCUCGAAAUGAGAAGGAGGGAGGCAAUAAGGCAAAUUCUAUUUAUUUAUUAUAUUGAAACUAUGAAACAUAACAAAAUUCACAUCGAAAUUAAGUGAUGUGGUAUGUUCAGCUCAGCUGCCAUAUAAGGUGGUAUAAAAUUAUAGAAUAACUUAUGCAGUCCAAAUGCAUGACAUUAAGUUUGUAGCACACAUGUGUCAUCCUUUUCCAAUACUCAGAAGACUUCCACUCAUCCCUUUUUUCCAUGGUAAAAAGGGGCCUAGGCUCCAAAACCAAUCUCCACCGAGGAAAACAUUGCAUGGCAAAAAGUGGGCUCCAUGAAAUUGGGCAAGCUCAAAGGCAAGACUUGCUUGGGCUGCUGCCUGAGCAAAAAAUCACUUGUAUUUCACUAAUCCAAACCGUUUAUUUUGUAGAUACUCAUUCAAAGAUCAUCUCUACAAAAAAUCACUUGAAUCCGAUAUCAUUUGAUUAUUCAAUUGAGUUCUUAAAAUUUUAGUACUUUCUUGAAGCACCGUGUUCAUUGAUUUUAUAGGACACAAUUGGAUAUCGAAACGGUUUCCGAUUUGUCUAAUUUUUUGUAAGGAUGAUCUAUGAAUGAAGACCUUAAAAAUAGAUUGUUUGGAUCGUUGAAAAAAAAUUCAUAGGGUACCCUAAAGGACGUUCCUCAAAUAAAAUUAUUUGAAAGAUCCCUUAAUAGAAGGGGACUAUAUAUAUGUAUCAAAACAUAAUAAUAUGUAUAUUAAUGUAUGUUAUAUAAAAGACUUAAAUUGUAAGAAUCUCAUUUUCAUGUAGUAACAGAUUUAGGAAAUUUUUUAGAAAAAAGGCAAUAUUUAAAUGACUAACGGGAAAGAAUAGGUUUCAUUGAGGCAAAGACUGGGUUUAGAGUGAAGCACCUUUAGGUGGAAAUCUUGGAAUGCCAUCAAAGUCAUAUAGGGAUAAGUUGGACAUUGACUAAAGAUAGAAAAUACAAGGGAUGAGUAACAAGGCUCCCUUGAAGCAUGCAAUUUAGUGACCAAUUUCAAAGGUAGGGAAGGUAAGAAACGAAUAGAAAAGUGAUCAAGAGACACAAUCAAAGUGGCAUUAACAAUUAGGCAAAACAAGAAAAUAAUAAAGCAACUGAUCUUUGUUCGAAAAAAAGGGAAAAAACCAUCAUCGAUUGACUUGUUCAAAAAAAGGAAUUAGGCAAACCAAGAA